AAGAGUUCAGGGAUCUUCAAGCUUGCCUUGAUGAAGUGAAGACGAAACUCCAAUCUGGUCCCGUGGCUACCUAAGUAUCAGGAACGUGCUAUUUUUGAAUAUCAGGAAUGUGCUAUUAUUUUAGUUCGUACUGUAGUUGAGACCUUAACCAUGACUGAAUAUCUUGUAUUGCUGUACCACCUUUUCUGUAACAAAACAGUCUAGUUUUAGUAUUUUUAUUAUUUUUGUAUUUUCAGUGCUGUAACUAAUCUCAUUUGACAAUGUAAAUAUAUGGCUUCAAGUUAUUUAAAUGUAAAAUCAAGUGUUGUUUUCAACCUCUGUUCUUUUAUGUAUAGCUUACAUGCCGUGAUUUCAUUAACCUCAAUUUAAGGACAAUUUCAUAUCUUUUUUCUUUCUGCUUUUCUUUUAUCAUUUAAGAACAAAUAUGAAUAUAUUUCAGACAGCAUUUAAACAAAGCAACCGAACGUCGCUGGUUUCUAUUAUUACAUUGACAGCAAUAAAACAAAGAAGCAACUGAAAGUUAUCUUCAUAUGAGAAUGAAAGCUUUUCAGCAGCAUAACACUAUUCAUUUCCAAACGAGUUCCUCAACAUGAGAACAAAUUCGUAGACCUUUUCUGGGUCUGGAAGGAUCCUGGCAACAGUUUCCCUUUGCAUGCACUUGUUCAUCCAAGCGGAGAAUUUGGGGCACUCAUUCGCAUCCUUAAAUCACCCAAAUUUCUCAACCGCGUAAAACCAACAAAUUUCUCAACCCCCAAAUUUGGGACAUCAACGAAUCCAAAGCUAUCCCCGCCAAAGAAAUCCUUCUCCCCUAAAGCUCCCUCUAGUUGCUUCAAUAUCUCUAUAAAUUCAUUCUUUGCCGUCUCCUGUGUUUUAAAAAAUCUAUUGUAAUGGAUCUAUUGUAAAUUUAUCUAACUGCUUGUUAUAAUGCUUCUAUUGCGGUGUUAUUCGAGUUGUCAUUUUCAGUUUUAUUUUAUUUGUUCUUUAAACAUAGUUAAUUUGAAAUGUUCUUUAAUAUCCAUUACACUUGAGAUCAUCAAAUAAGUGAUUCUUGAAUAUAAUUGCUGUUGUUACUCGAAUAAGAAAAGAAAACAAAAAAUAGCUAAGGUAAAAGUAAAUGGAAAUGAGAGCAACGUGAUUUUGCAAAGAGAACUUCACACUAUCAUAAAACCGAAAACAUUACAAUUUAAAGCUUUAAUAACAACACAUCAAAGUCAAAUAACGACCCACUAGAAUCAUGGUCCAAAGAUUGUGCCAUGAUCACAACAUGAACUACAAAAAAAUAACCAACACCAGAAAAGUAGGAACAGUUUGAAACUUUCAACUAAGCAGCAUUUAUGAUUCCACAUCAGCAGCCCUAAACACAUCUUCUAACAAUCGCAACUGCUCAUUUUUGCUUCUGCCAAUAAAGAGUUGAUUGUAACCAAAGAUUGUUGUCUUUAUUGUCAUUUGAGAGUAACAAAUUACUUACGCAGUCACGUAAGUUGUUGGUUGGCCUCGCACAUUUUUGAGAAGUUUGUUUCUGAAGGAAACCAGCUGAGCCGCAACCUCUUCCAUGCUCAUUCGUUCUCUCGGCAACUCUGAAGAGCAAAUGGCUCCGAUUCCCAGUACGGAAACCAAGCACUCUUUACCACUAAAACUUCUGGUCCAUUGUUUGUGAGCAUUGGCGUUGCUUUUCUCCCCUUCUUCUCUUUCUACAAGAAGCACUGGAUCAACAAUUUCAGCGAGUCUUUCAGGAAGAGCUUCCUUGACAAAAUUAUGUAGGGUUAGAUUGCCUGUAAACAUUUCAUUCGUCGGCCUCUUUCCUGUAAACAUUUCCAGCAAGAGUAUUCCAAAACUGUACACAUCUCCACUUGUUGAGACUUCGCUCCCCAUUCCGUACUCUGCAAUUCGAAAACUAAAAUUGUUGGUUCAACUAGUAAAAUCUCAAAGGAUUGAAAGACAAGUUAAUUAAAUAAUAGUAAUUACCUGGAGCAGCAUAACCAACGGUUCCUUUUACUCCAACAGAGCUUGAUUGAUUAGAUGACAAGUUAUUGGUGGCUUCCGGAAGGAAUUUUGCUAAUCCAAAAUCACCUACAUGGGCAGUCAAUUCACUAUCCAGAAGAACAUUGCUUGGCUUGAGAUCACAAUGGACUAUUGGAGUUUCGCAAUAAUGAUGAAGAUAAUCCAAUGCAGAAGCAACAUCAACGGCAAUACUCAGUCUUUGCAGGAGAUUUAGAUUCUUAAGUGCCUCACGGUUUGGAUGCAACCAUUCCUCCAGGCUUCCGUUAACCAUGAACUCAUAAACUAAAGCCUCGAAAUCAUUUCCUUGGAAGUCAACACUUGCACAGGAAGUUAUUAUUUUGACGAGAUUCCGAUGCCUAAUAUUUCUCAAGGCCUGACACUCCGCUAUGAAACUCUUUGAAGCUCCUCGAUGUUGAAGAUUAAGCACCUUAACUGCCACCAGCGUUUCAUGAUCAUCAUGAUUGAGGACUCCUUUAUAGACCGAACCAAAGCUACCGGCACCAAUCAAGUUUUCCAAAGAGAACCCGUCAGUUGCUUUGAACAGAUUCUCAUAGGACACUCGUAAAACCGAAGCCAAGAGAGCUGAUGGAGGAGUGGCCGGCUUCCUUUUUGAUUUGCCCCGCCAGGAAGUAAUUAUCAAACACGACAUCCCUGUUACUAACAAAAUUCCUGUAACAACAGGAAUAAUCAGUUUCAGGAAACGGGAACGUGAUUGCAUUGAUUCUUUGAUGGAACAAGUAGAUAAAUGCAACUCAGAUAUGCCACCACAGAGGUUAUCAUUUCCGUCAAGAGAUAUAGCACUCGAAUUGCUGAAGACUCCUUUUAUUGGUACUUCACCCUCAAAAUGAUUAAAAGACAGAUUUAAAUUCUGCAAAAAGGGAAAGUUUUCCAGAUAUUUUGGAAUUCGGCCAGACAAAUUGUUCCUCGAAAGAUCAAGAUUCUCAAUGCCUCUCAAAGAACUGAAUGAUGAAGGGAUAUUCCCUUGAAAGAAAUUACCAUUCAUGAUGAGUUGUACCAACAUAAUGCAACUUCCUAUACUGCUUGGAAUUUCACCAGACAAUUUGUUCUCCGAUAUGUCUAUAAAACCCAGAUUUUUCAAGAUACCAAAAUUAGAGGGCAAAGGACCAUUCAAAUGGUUUUGAGAUAGAUCAAGAUAGAUUGACAAGGAAGAGAGGCCAAUCACUUCAGUGGGUAUGGUACCACUGAGGUUGUUAUUGGAGAGAUCUAAUAAUAUCAAGUUUUGGCAUUUCCCUAGACUUGAUGGAAUGUUUCCCUCUAACAUGUUUUCCGCAAAAUCUAGUAUAGCUAACGAUGUCAAAUUUCCUAUAGAAGAUGGAAUUUCCCCCCAAAACUUGUUCCCCAGAAGCCACAACGUCUGCAGCUUAUGAAGAUCUCCUAUACUUCCCGGAAUUCGGCCUGUGAAUUGGUUGCCCCCAAGGUGUAAAAGCUCUAAGUUAACAAGAUUUCUUAAUCGAUUUGGGAAAUUUCCGAACAACUGAUUGUUUCCAACUAUUAAUAUUCUAAGUCGGGUUGACAAGUUCCCCACAGCUUCAGGUAACAUUCCACCAAAAUUGUUGUCACUAAUUUGCAGUAGCUCUAGUCUGGAAGCGUUGACCAAAGAAUUGACAAAUUCCAAGUCAUCCUUUUUCCCAUUUCCUAAGUGAUUCAGAUAAAAACUAACCCAUUGGAGUUUAUGUAAAUUUUCCAAACUAGGCACCUUUCCACUGAAUCCAUUCAUUGGGAUUGUAAGUCUCAUUAGAUUUGAGGCAUUGGAUAUUGAAGCAGGAAUAGGCCCAGUAAACUGAUUACCACCAACGUUUAAUCGUUCAAGAUUAGGCAGAGUGAAGCCUAAGUCUGAUGGAAGGCUUCCUUGAAGUUGGUUAUGAGGGAAAUCCAAAUAAUUAAGCGAAGACAAGUUGUAGAUUGAGAAAGGGAUUUCACCUGAUAGCUUAUUUACUCCCAAUAAUAUAUCACGCAUCCUCUUUAGCUGACCCAGUGUUUCAGGAAUUUGUCCCACAAAUUGAUUUGCAGCUGCUGAGAGGACCUCGAGUGAUGACAAAUUGCCCAAGGAAGAUGGGAUUUCUCCCGAAAAAUUGUUGUAGUGUACUGUGAGCAUCCGGAGCUUUGAUAUGGAGCCUAGUAACCCAGGAACUUUCCCCACAAGCUCAUUGACGCCUAACCUGAGGGAUUCAAGGUUAACGCAAUGCGAUAUGUUGUCAGGAAUUUGACCUCCGAAUGUAUUGUUGUUCAGCUCCAAAAUUCGUAACCUGAACAGAUAUCCAAUCUCUUGAGGGAUUUCGUUGCGGAAGCUAUUGUUUUUGAGAUCUAACACUCUGAGAAAACUCAAAUUACCAAUGUGAGGCGACAGAGACCCCUGCAAGAGUAAAGAUGGAAGACGUAAUCCAGUCACCCUUUGGUGCCGUCGACUGCAAGUGACACCUUUCCAUUGACAAAAGUGCCUGGAAUAGUUCCAUGAUCUCAAAACCUCAAGAGGGUCAUGAGUAACUUUGGCCUUGAAUUGAAGCAAUGCAAGUUGAUCAGUUUCAUUGCUUUUGAGCAUAUAAUCGGUUGAUUGCAAGCUGAAGCUGAAGCAACAUAAAAUAAAGAAACAAAUGCUUACAAUGAUUGAACUCAUCAUGUUUACAAAAUUCAUUUAACUGCCGAAGGAAAUUAAAAUGAUAAAACUUUUAUAGAGGUUUGUAAGAUAAAAUAUGUUUGUAUAUAUUUUGCAAUGAUUUAUGGACUCUGUCUUUGAUGCUCAAAUGUGAACCAGGUGGCACCGUGACAGUGAAACUAAUACUUUUUCUUUUUCUAAUAAUAUUAAUUAUCAUAUUUAUUACUAUUGUAAGAAUAAUAUACUGCAGCUUUAAAGAAAGACUCACCAUACUCUCUUUUGAGUUUAAUCACCAAUAUUGAAAAGGAAAAAAAAAGUAGGGCAAGAGAAAGGUAAAUACGAUGGGUGGAGUGUUAAGACUACUGUUAAAUGAGUUGGGAAACGUUCAAAGCACGAUGGGAAUUAAAGAUUCACAACACCUUUUUUCUAAAAUUUUCAAUACAGUCUCCCCCAAAAUUUGCUAGUGCAACAAAGAGACGUCGCGCCGUUAACAAUUUUAAACUGUAAAUGACAUGUCGUUUUCACAGAAUUCGUUUAACUGCCGGAGGAAAUUGAAAUUAUAAACUUUUAUAAAGGUUGGUAAGAAAAAAUAUACUUGCACAUAUUUUUUUUUCAAUGAUUUAUGGACGCUGUACUUGAUGCUGAAAUGUGAACCGGCUGGCACCGGGACAGUGAAAUUAAUGCUUUUUGUUUUUCUAAUAAUAUUAAUUAUCCUUUUCCUUUAAGGAAGACCCGCCACACUCACUUUUGACGCUCUAUCAGUUUCCAGCAUGUUGUCGUUUUGUAUUUUAGUGCAUUAAAGAAAUCCACAAUGAAUAUAAAAUAAUUUAAUCAACAGUAUUAGAAAAAGAAAAAAAGUAGGAUAAGAAAGUUAAGUAUGAUGGAUGGAGUUUCACAUUUCUGUUAAAUGACUUAGGAAAUGUUUAAAGCACCACAGGAAUCAACGUUUCACACGCUUUUUAGAUUUUUUUUCUAAAAGGAAAAAGAUAUUCUCACGAAAGAAAGUACAAAAUUUCACACAAAACGGUGCAUUUAAAUAAAGUAAAAUUGCAAAAAUACUCAAAAUAUAUAAGAUUGAUCAUUUACACCCUCCUUGUUUUUUUUGGGUGAACUAUUUCUGGAAAAUGGGCAGAGCCUAGUUUUGGUUCAAAAUUUGAAAUAACAAAUGGUAUAUUGGUGGAAAACCAACGACAUAUUUUCUAAUGCUUAACCUAAAUGGGAAUUAUAUCGGUUUGUACUGUCAAUAUAACAAACAACUAACUAAAUUAUUUAGAAGUCAUGAAUAAAAAUGGAUAGAACAAGAAGUAUAUUGCUAUUCGAUGCAAGAUGUUGGAUUAUUAAACCAUAAUAAAAUAAUAUAACUACACAUGUGCAAUGUUAUUCACUAAAAAGAUUUAAUUUAGAUAUUAAACAGUUAGUGCAACUGUAUCGAUCUCAUCCUCAUUAAUUUAGAGUUUGAGAACUCAUAAUAAAAGAAAAUAGAAAUUUAAACAUAGAUCCUAUCCUAUUAAGUAGAAUCAGAAAAGAAGUUUAUAGAAAUAAUUUUUCACGGAAGCAAUGAAAUAUUAAUCCGGUUGAUGGAUAUAUUGGUGAACACAUAAUAGAAUAUUAUAAUAGAUUUUUAUCUAUCAAGCAAAGGGAAGAAUAUAAUUGGAAUAACAAAAGAAUUAGAAGUAAAUAGUAAUAUGCUAAUAGGAUAUAAAGGAUUAUUAUUAAUUAUCGUAUUUGUGUAUAUAUAUAUAUAUUUUAAAUGAUUUAGGGACUCUGUACUUGAUGCUGAAAUGUGAACCGGCUGGCACCGGGACAGUGAAACGAGUACUUUUUUUAUUAUUACACGGCCUGUCGUUUUCAAAGAAAAAUUUUAUCAUGGUAUUCUUAUCCCCUAGCUGCCGUUUGUCGUUUGGAAUUUCUCUGUAUAAGAUUUUAAAGCAGCAAAAAUUUCGCCAUCUCGCGCCGGGGGGGUGGGGUGGGGGGAAGAUGAUGAUUCCGUGGAAUAUUAUCUUCGACUUAUCUGCUAUAAUCAGUGCUAACCGAUUUUGACACAUUUGCAGUAACGGAAGGGUUACAAUUACACGAGAUUGACACGAGGUAAUUAGCUAGUCAAGUCUCCGUGGGAAAAUUGUAAGCACUCAAGACUUAAAAAAGACUUUAUAAAGUAAGGCGUAUUAUGGAUGGUGUGGUUUGAUUCUCACUUGCAUCAAUUGUUCUUUUCAUUUUUCAUUGGAGGAAAGGAAAUUCAAGAGCCUGGUGUAUCUAGCAAAUUUUGUAACACGUUCUUGUAAGAUAAAAUAAAUAAAUAAAUAUAUCGGAUCCUAUUUCAUAGUUUAGUUAUAGGGUUAUUCGGAUGUCUGAAUUCAAAACAAGUUAAGUUUAAUCUCUAAAUAAUUUUGAGGAAAUCUUUCUACAAGGAGAGUUUGAAAUCAAUCACUACCCAUGUGUCAUUGGUCAGAUAAAUAGGUUAAGAACUCUAAUCCUAUCCCGACACAAAAAAAAAUCGUAUCGACUCGGACCUAGUCCAUUUUAAAUAACGGUUUAUUUAAAAUAAUUAUUUUUAUAAUAAUAAUUACUACUAUUAGUUGUCCUAUUAUUAUUAUUAACAAUAAUUAUUUUAAAUAAAAAUUGUAAUUAUUAUAAUAAAUGAUGACAAUAAUCAACUAAGAUUAUUUUGGUAUUGUAAUAAUCAAUUCCAAUUCCAAUAAAAAUUAGAUACAUUAGUGACAAUAUAAAUUAGGGUAGGGGUGGGCAAAUUCGGUUUGGAUCGGUUUGGGACAUAUCCUCAAACCGAUCCAAACUAAUCGGUUUGAAAUAUUUUCAAACCGAUAUCAACCUAAAAUUUUUUUAAACCGAACUGAUCCAAACCGAUUGGAUCGGUUUGGAUCCGGUUUGAACUUAUUAGCUAAAAUUUCACUUCUUUUAUAUUAUUUUACCUAAAUUAUUUGUUAUUUUUUUGUGUCCGCAAUCUAAAUUGAUACCUCUUUUAUAUUAUUCAUAUCUACUUUGAUAUCUACAUAACAAUUCAAAGAUACAUCCAUACAAGUUUACAGCAUAAUACAUCCUAAUAAACAAGUUCUUAACCUGUUCAUUCAAAACAAACUCACAAAAUUAAAAUAAACUUAAACCACACUUGACAAUUAAAAUAUUGUGCAUCUUGUCCGUCAAAAUUUAUAGUCCAAUUACUUUUGAUUUGUUAAAAUCUGCAUAAAAUGAUAAAUAUAAUUAUUUAGAUUGAUUAACUUAAAAUAUAAUGUAAUUAUAUAAUAUUUCUGGAUUGGAUCGGUUUGAAUCGGUUUGGAAUCCUUCCAAACCGAGUGAUGUCGGUUUGCAAUCCAAUAAACUGAAACCAGUUUUUUUACUAAUGAAACCGAUCCAAACCGAUCCAAAAGGUCGGUUUGGAUCGGUUCGGUUAAAAUAUGCCCACCCCUAAAUUAGGGGUUAUUUUUAGAAACCUCCCCUGAAGUUUAGUGUAUUGACAGUCGGAUAGAAAGUAUUCAUAUAAUUACAGGGACCUCCCCUGACGUUAGUAUUCCGCUAAGUGGACUGUCAGUUGACUAUUGAAAUUCCAAAAAUGCCCUUGCCGCAAAAAUAUAUUUUUAACAUAGAGGAGGUUGCGCUCUGAUCCUUUGUUCUGAAUUCAUUUUUUAUCCUUUGUUCUUAGUCACGGUAUAUAAGCCCCAUCCUUACCAAACAAAAUUUUAGAUCAAACAUGCUUAAAGAAAAUGGAUAAUGCAACAUCUAAAAUAAUUUUAAAACACAAAACAACAAAUACUCCACAUUUCAAAGUAAUAAAAAAAUAAAUAAUCGUAGUGCAAAUAGAUUAAACCUGAGCAGAUUUAUAGGCAUUAAGAGUAUUCUCAACGGCGACUUUCCUCUCAUCGCCAGUCUUAAACUCAGCCAAGUUAAGCAAACUCAUGUCGAAACCAAAAUUAGAAUUUAGAAAGGAAAAAAACAGAAUUGAGAAUCAAUUUAUUUUUUGGGAGCACGUGAGUGAUGAGUUUUGGAAUCUAAAAUGAUAUCAAGUUAUGAAGUAUUUUUGGUGUAAACGCAACAGCCAUGAGAGGAGAGUGACGAGAAACUUCCAAAAAGAGGUGAAAAAAAAAACAGAAGAGAAAAAGGCCAAAAGGAAAAAGACUCAAAAAAACAAAAACAGAGAGGAGACGCAAGGGCAAUCAAGCAAGCAGACAAACAAUUUAAAACCUGAGCAGAUAAUCACCCUUCAUCUUCAAAUAAAACACCUUGGAAUCGGCAGCGGCAGCGGUGGGAACCAAUUUCUGGUCCAAUAAUUUCAAGAUCCCGCCACAGGAUCUCCAUCAACUCGGCUUCGAUCUUCGAUCUGUACUCCUUAAUCACGGAGACAUGGUCUUGGUUGCCGUGCGACUCGUCCUUCUGCUCGAUGGAGGACACGAUGCACCAAGAGGCGCGCCGUGCGCCGAUGACGUUCUUGUAGGCGACGGAGAGGAGGUUCCUCGCUGGUCGAGGCAGAGACGACGACUUUUUCCAUGUAUUGGACCAUCUCCUCGUACCACUCGGCUUGCUCCGCAAGUUUUUCCAUGUAUACGUUUUCUUCCCGUGGAGAAGGGGCUGCCAUUGUUCCGUUCAGUUAUCUUUGUGUUUGUUUGAAUUUUGUUUUUGUUUAAAUUUUAAAUUUAUUUUUACGUAUUUACCCUUUAUAAUAACGUUAUACGUAUUUUUGUAUUAACGUUAGGGGAGGUCUUUGUAAUUACAUGAAUAUUUUCUAUCCGACUGUUAAUACACUAAACCUCAGGGGAGGUCCCUAAAAAUAACCCUAUAAAUUAUUACAGCUAAAAUAAAUAAUUUAUAAUAAUUCUAAUUCUUUAUUUCAAUUCUAUUUUGAUUCUAUCUUAUUCCGAUUACUGAUUGGUAAGCAUACCACUAAACGAAAUGAAACUGUCCAUACACAAUAAAAUCUCUUUAAUUGAUCAUCUAGCCCAGCUAAAAUCAACGGUCCCGAAAGAAACAAUUUCGGAACUACUCAAGCCUGCAAAUCUUGCACUGUCGUAGUAAGUUACAGGAAUUUGAUUGGACGAUGUAAUAAAGAUGAAGGAUAAGAUCGCCAUUCGCCAAUCAAUUUUCUGUCCGCAUCAAGCAAAUAGGCCAUCUGUGAGGCGCAAAAUGAGUUAAAAAGAUGGAUAAUUUUGGAAUCCAUUAAUCCACAAUGAACAUAAAACAAUUUAAUCAACAGUAUUAGGAAAGAAAAGAAAAGUAGGAGAAGAAAGUUAAGUAUGAUGGAUGGAGGUUCAGAUUACUGUUAAAUGACUUAGGAAAGGCUUAAAGCACCACAGGAAUCAACGUUUCACAAAGCUUUUUUCCCUUUCUGAAAUAUUCGGUGCAGUCUCCCCCAGAUUUUGCCAGUGCAACCAAGAGACGUCAUGCCGUUAUCAAUUAUAAACUGUAAAUGACAUGUUGUUUUUACAAGACAUAUUAUGCGUCGAUACAUACCUAUGAAUGGGUUCAAGAAAUUCAGCAGGUUGCGAAACAAUAAGAUUCAUUCAAUCCGCGUAGAUAUCUGACUGACUGAAAUUAAAUAAACGAUGAUGAUAAGAAAUUUGAAAUCAACAAAUCUCGGCACAUCUAUUCUGCAGUUUGGCCGUACUUCAAAUAACCUUGCGAUAAAAAUUUCAUAAAAAAUCUCAGAAAGAGGACAGAACAACCAAGGCAUCAGCGAAAGCAAUCGAGGCAGGGCACGCUCAAGCCACGAAUUAGAGGAAUUUUAAAUAUCAAAACCUGCUCAGAAUAAUAAGAAAUAAAAUGAAACUACAAAAGGCUCAGAUUUUUGGAUGAGUGAAGGGAAGAUGAGAAGAUGAAAUGCAGAAAGUCAAGAAAUGAAUAAACCAAUAUUAAUAAUCUUGGACCCACAGCUCUAAUUUGGAUUAAGCAUCCAUCUACCUAUGUGGAUAAUAUUUUUGCUAACUUUUCAGCCAUGCAGCAGGAUCAUGUUCGUCCUGUUUUAUUUGAUAGAAGGAAUUUUCCCCUGGAAGAAAAUGAUGAGUCGUUUCAACGUCAUGCAACUGCCUAGACUGCAUGGAAUUUCACCAGACAAUGACAAUUUAUUCUCAGAUAUAUCUAACGCCCCCACAUUUGCCAAAUUUGAAGGCGUCCGUUUUGAGACUGAUAAAAACGUUUUCCAAAAAUUCGGGAUUCAGGUCGAUCAGACCGGUUAUGUUUUGCAAAACUUGUAAAUUUUCAGUGAUCAAAAUUCAAAACUUUGCAAAUAGGUCAAAAUAUGAAAAAUACUUGAUAUAUUAUUGAAUACUCAUUUUGUUUUGCAUUAAUAUACGGCUGUGGGUGCUAUCUAGUUCUAUUAGUAAAAUUCCUUGGGUUGAAAACAAGAAAACUAGCAUUUGAAACUCACCCAUAUGGAUGGGAAAGAAAUUUAGUUACCAUUGGAUUAAAAAAUAAUAAUAACAAUUAGAAAAAAAUUGUAAGGCUUCGACAAGAUUUGCUAAUCAUGUAUAGAUUAAUAUGAAGAUUAAGAACAUCACCUAAGCCAAUUAUUGAAAUUGAAAUUUUAGGAGAAAAAUUUAUGUGGGUUUGGCCACCAAUUUAGCAUUAGGAACUUAUUGUUUAGGAAGCUAUGGUGGGUUUCGUAGUGGGACUUAUCCUCUUUAAUGCAUAUGGUGAUUUUAAACCAACAUUUAUAUAAUCCCAUUAUAAAACUCAUCAAACCUUCUAAAAUAACUCGUUGAGAUAGUGUGCUAGAUCCAUAUAAAUAUUUCUCCAACUUCUUAGCUUGAAGCGAUAUUCAUUUCCAUUGAUAGUUUAAUGGGCAAAGCCUUUUGAAUUCUCCAGGUUAUCAAGUUAUUUUUUGCUGGAAAAUGCAAUCCGGAUAUGAAUAGAUUUUUUUGUGCAAUCAAAUUUUCUAUGUUGACGCAUCCUCUAGAACUUUCAGUAAAUUUUAUGGAGAAGCUUUAAUUUCUUAGUUGUUGAUUUCGAAUAAAAAAUUAAACUUAACUUUAAAAUUACAGUUGUAAUUAUAAAAUAUUUACUGAAUACAUUAGUGUUAAUACUACAAAUUGUUCCAUUAAAAGUCUCUCAAAAAGGAAGAAGUGACUUAAAAAAUUAAAAGAAUGCAGGAGCUGAAGUUGGCAAUUUUGUAAAUUGCAAUGGCAAUUGUGGGCUAGUAAAAUCCCUCAAUGAGUCACAGCACUAGCAAUUUCGUAAUAUACAUUAGUGGCAAUUUUGUAAAAUUGAAGUUGUGAUAGUUUUGCAAAUAAAAGUAAAAGCUUUUUGCCUAAAUUCGGCUGAGCUAAAAGCCAGCUUAGCCCACACUCUCCUUCGCCACCGGUUGACGAGCUCUUCCUUCAAUUUUUGAACUUGAAGUGAUGCCCCAUCGAUGUCCAGAAUUUUUAAAGUCAGAAUGAUGAUCCUAAUGAUUCUUUUUAGAUAGUCACCUGUACGUUGACGUGUUUAAUUGAUGUUUAUUUAAGCAGAAAUUGAAGUUUGAUCCCUGAUUAAUUAGAUGAGAACACACAUUCAUGAGUAAAUACUUAAAAUUAAAUUAAUCAAAAUAGUAUAAAUACAGGAGAAAAUCGAUCAUAUGCGUGCAGACAUCACAAUCGAAUUAUAUAUAUCACCGCCGCACAUAAAUUUGAUUCCCAUGAUAUGUGAUUAAUUAAUUAAUUUUUUUAAUAACAAUUAAAUUGUAAUGUCAAUUGUCCACAUAAGUUUUUUGUUUUUGUUGAUGAAAGUUAGUAAUUUUUUUCCAUCUUUUUAAAUAAAAGUUGUUAAUAAAUAUCAAGAAAAUAUUGGGACUUGAGAUCAGGGUCUACUUAAGUUAGAAUUUUUUAUUAGAAAAGCUAUAGCCAGCGAUGAAAAAUAAAGAAGUAACACAAGAUAAAGAGUAAAAUGAGAGAGCAUAUAUUAUAAAAAGAUUUUACCCAUUUCAAGUGUGCACCAAACAAAGAGACGAACUCUCAUUUUAUAGUUACAUAAUUAUUACAUGAAAUUAAUAAAAAUAUUAAGAAUUAUAAUUCCUUGCGAGAUAGUGGGAGUUAUAGAAAAGUCAAGAGUUGUUAGUGGAAGAUAGCAAGAAGAGUAAAAAAUAUAUGUUAUGAACAUUCACAUUUAUUUUAAUAAAUUUACAGUAUUUUUUUCGUUAAAUAAUAGGGUGUGGAGAACAAUUGGAAGGACUUUACGUGUGUUUAUAUAUUGACAUAAAAAUUGCAGGACGUGUAGUUUAGCGUUUCUUGGUUGUUCAGUGCUAGUUUUCUAAAUCUCGAGCGUGCGGGUUAUUUUUCGUUACCUUUAUCACCGAAAGGCUGUUUUAACCAACUAAGAACUAAAAGCUAAAACCCAAAACCCCCCUCUUGUUCUUUUCCAGGGACUUUACCUUGUCCUUGAUGGCCGAAAAGCAACUGGAAAUCCUCCGCGGGUACGAGCUGCGGCUCUUGCGCUGCACCCUCGCUCCCCCACCGUCCGAUCUUCGCAUUCAAUCGCAACCGUUGAACGAAGAAAGCCAAUGCUCUAUCCUUCCACUCCACGAGCACAUCAACAGCCUCAUCAACUCCAUCGAGUCCGGCCACUAUCUCCAGGCUCUGUCCUCCGACGAGGCUAAACACGCUCUCGACACGCUCGAUUUCGUCGACAUCAACGACUCAGCCGAGUGUGCCGACCGCGUCUACUCCGAGCUGCUCCAGCUUGUCGAAGCGUCUAUAGUGAACGAUUCCGAAAUUGACGUGGAUAAGGCUUGUCGAGUUAUUCUGCUCAUGUGUCUUUCAAUUGCUGCCCUUUUUUGGUUCACUCAGUGUAACGUGACUGGGUGAGUUUCUUAUUUAUAAAUUUUUAAAUAAUUGCAAUUAAUUAAUAAUAAAUAUUAGUAAAAAAUUAAUCAAAAAAAAGGUUUAGUGAUGAACCUUGUCGAGGUGCCUUCUAAUAGAAAAGAGCUCACGGCAAGAUGAAAUGCAAAGUAAGUUGUUUUAUGGUUGGGCGGUGUGUAGCCGUCUUGUUGAAGGCCAUAAGAUGUUAAGCAUAUUGCUGUUUAAUUUUUAAAUCAUUCUCAGUAAUAAUUCCUUUAGUAGAUUGAUGAUAAGAGAUUGCAUUGCAGAUGAUAACUGAGCACAAUUUCUGUAGUUGUAUCCCUGUACAUCCAUCUUAAUAUCCUCAUUAUAUUCACAUGCCUUUUACGGGUGUUAUUUCUGGAUGCAGAAUGCUUUGUUCCACGUCUGGAUACCAAAUGCUUUGUUCCACAAAGCUGAGCUGGUUGAAAAGCUAGCUGAUGAGGUCAACAUGUCCCUUAAGUAAUUUGAGGAUGAACACUGUGUUCCCGAAAGUCUUACUCUAAUGAUACUUAAAGAAGCAAUGAGAAUGGAUGUUGCAGCAGCUUUGCUGAACUCAACCCCAGUUCCAAAAAUGGAACAUGUGAAAAUGCAUUGUUUUUUUUUUUUUUUUUCUCUCUCUUUAUGACUUCUUUGGUUGGGAAUGUAUUAGAUAUUCACCUAAUCAGUAGGCCUUGAAGGGAUCCCAUGUUAGCCCCUUGAUGUUGGUCUGUAACUAAGUAAAUACUUGACCUUGAAAAAGCUUUUGGAGGCAUCAGUUCUCUCUGACUGUGUGCUACUUUUUGGAUCUGUUGAUUUGGUCAUUUGCUGAUUUAUAGUUAUUUUUCUGAUUCAGGAUGGGAUAUGGCUCCAUACAUAUAUAGGCAAUUGAUUCACAGCAGUCGUCAUGCUUCAUUGUAAUUAUAUAUACAAUACAGCAUCAGUUUUUCUUGAUUUUAAAUCUCGUAUUCUGAAGUGGUACUUCUGAUUCUCACAUGAUUUUUCCAUCUUUCAGCUAAAGUUUUUCUGUGAUCUCUUCCGUAUUAGAUGGGAGUUCACCCGUAGUCGCACAAAAGGGCGUGCUUUAGAGAUGAUGGACAAACUGGUAUGAUCUGUGAGCCUUUUCUUCUUAAAUAUUUUGUUACCUAAAUCAUUUUCAUUCAAAUUUACAAGAGUUGCCUAUGGAUCUAUAGAAGAUUCCAAACUUUCUGCAGCUAGUAGUUUCUUGGUUUCCGUACUGUCCAUCGGGUAAAGAUUGAAUGUGCAUCAUUUAUAAACUUGUCGGGAUCUUCCUUCUUAGCUUUGAGAUUGCUCCUGCAUAUAGGUAGAACCAAAGGCACAAAUGGUACUUGUUGCAAACACAAGCUCAUCCAACACUUCUGAUGUCUGCCCUUCAAUAAACCAAGUCAUUCAUACACAUGAUUCUACUAUUGGUGAUGCCUCUGAUGUUUUUGUGACCCCAAAAUUAUUGGGGAAUAGUCAUGAAUCUGAAUCUGGAGUCCAAUGCAUUCAUGCUGGUGGCUCAGCAGCCCAUUUAAAGGCAAUCCAACAGGCAGUGAUCUUGUCGAGGUGCCUUCUAAUAGAAAAGAGCUCACGGCAAGAUGAAAUGCAAAGUAAGUUGUUUUAUGGUUGGGCGGUGUGUGGUCCUCUUGUUAAAGGCCAUAAGAUGUUAAGCAUAUUGCUAUUUAAUUUUUAAAUCAUUCUCAGUAAUAAUUCCUUUAGUAGAUUGAUGAUAAGAGAUUACAUUACAGAUGAUAACUGAGCACAAUUUUUGUAGUUGUAUCCCUGUACAUCCAUCUUAAUAUCCUCAUUAUAUUCACAUGCCUUUCACGGGUGUUAUUUCUGGAUGCUGAAUGCUUUGUUCCACUUUUGGAAACCAAAUGCUUUGUUACACAAAGCUGAGCUGGUUGAAAAGCUAGCUGAUGAGGUCAACAUGUCCCUUAAGUAAUUUGAGGAUGAACACUGUGUUCCCGAAAGUCUUACUCUAAUGAUACUUAAAAAAGCAAUGAGAAUGGAUGUUGCAGCGGCUUUACUGAACUCAACCCCAGUUCCAAACAUGGAACAUGUGAAAACCAAAAAUGCAUUGUUUUUUUUCUCUUUAUGACUUCUCUAGUUGGGGAAUGUACUAGAUAUUCACCUAAUCAGUAGGCCUUGAAGGGAUCCCAUGUUAGCCCCUUGAUGUUGGUCUGUAACUAAGUAAAUACUUGACCUUGAAAAAGCUUUUGGAGGCAUCAGUUUCUCUCUGACUGUGUGCUACUUUUUGGAUCUGUUGAUUUGGUCAUUUGCUGAUUUAUAGUUUGUUUUCUGAUUCAGGAUGGGAUAUGGCUCCAUACAUAGAGACAAUAGAUUCACAGCAGUCAUCAUGCUUCAUUGUAAGUAUAUAUACAAUACAGCAUCAGUUUUUCUUGAUUUUAAAUCUCAUAUUCUGAAGUGGUACUUCUGAUUCCCACAUGAUUUUUCCAUUUUUCAGCUAAAGUUUUUCUGUGAUCUCUUACGUAUUAGAUGGGAGUCCACCCGUAGUCGCACAAAAGGGCGUGCUUUAGAGAUGAUGGACAAACUGGUAUGAUCUGUGAGCCUUUUCUUCUUAAAUAUUUUGUUACCUAAACCAUUCUCAUUCAAAUUGACAAGAGUUGCUUAUUUAUCGAUAGAAGAUUCCAAACUUCUGCAGCUAGUACUUUAUUGGACCCAAAAGCUUUUUUGCUUUUUCUAAGCUGCUAAUCAAGACUAGGUUUCUCUCCCUUAUAUCGCUAGAUAUGCCAUUAAUCGUUUGAUUUAAUUGUCUAGAGAGAUUAGAUACUUGCAUCUUUGCUUUUCACUUCACAAGUGAUUUCAUGUGCUAUCCUGUAUUCUGGUUCAAGAUUUUUGAUGGUUGCUUACUAUCAUAUUUUGCUUUGUUUCAGGUUGAGGGCAUUUCUAACUCUUCUCCCGGUGUGACUCAAAGUAUUCCCUUUUGUUAUGUGAUUUGCAUUCCAACUAUUCCUGCCCUGCGAAAGUAAAACUAUUUCUUCUGCAUCUUUGAAUGAUUGUGAUUUAAUUUUCUUGUCAUUUUGCCAACUAUCAUUAUGCUGUCAUUGUUUCAUAUCUUAUUUGACAUAUGUUGAUUUGGAUAGAUUUUAAUUGCUCUGUUUAUUCUCUUUAUAAUCUGUCUAUUUCGAUUUUUCUUCAUUUUAGGGAAUAUGCUAAACUUUUAGUAAGCCGUGGCUUGAUUGGAGAGGCUAUUAAAAAUUUUGAGGAUCUGGUGUUGUGGGAUAGUCUAAUACUGCAAUUGGUAUGAUGUCAUAGAUAACCAUUACCCUAAUCUCUCUGUCUAUCUCUCUCUCUCUCUCUUUCGUGUUGCUAAUGGGAGUUGGUUUUGUGUAUGAUGUAAAAAACAGCCUAUUGGGGAAGAAAGCAGCAGCUGUUGAACUAAUAAAAGCAAGGCUGUCUGAAAAGCCUAAUGACCCUACAUUAUGGUUUGUUGAUGAGCCUUUUCUAUGAUCCAUUUUAUAGUUACUUCUCAUUUCAGUUAAAUCCAUUGUUGAUGUCACUUAUUGCAAUCUAGGGAUGAUUGUUCAUUGGAUGUGAGGAUAUUGUCAGAAGAAAAUGAAACCUUUUAAUUUUAUCUUUUACUUGCUGUAGCCGACUUAAAAGGUCACUGUGCGUUCUUACUGAUUGCUUUUGGUCUUGCAUUUGAGUCAGUGGAUUUUAUACUCAUAUUCUGACAUGUAUUGUUAGCCUUCUGACGGUUCUGCACCUUGGUCCUAUAUUAUCUUCAGCAGUAUUAUCUAAAAGAUCAUUUUUUGCCGAAGAAUAUUUGCAUUCUAAACUAGAAAAGGAGGGGCCGCCCGGGCCCGGGGGGGGGGGGGGGGGUGUGUGUGUGUGAAGGAAGCAUCAGGAGGUUGUUUUCCACUUAUCCUCUUCCCUGCCUGCAUUUUAGAUGAUUCUGAUGCACCAGGUGCCGUGAAAUGGUUGAGAAAUACAUACCAUCAAGUGAAUUCUGAAAAUCAUAUCCUUUUUGAGAAUAUUUGGUGCUAGACAUUUGAAUAUGUGGCCACAAUUUAAACAAUAAAGAUUUUCUGCACUGAUUUCUUAUAAUGGAUAUAUGCAUGUAAUUAUAAUAUGAUAUCUUUUGAUUAUUGACCCAUUUGUUUAGAAAGAAGGGGAAAAAAAAAACAUGGUUGAAAGACAACUGUUACUUGACCUUAUCUUGGUCUGUUCACUGCCGUUUGUUUCCUAUAACUUCUGGUGAUAAUGUAGCCAGAAUGAUGAGUUGAAUUGUGGUUUACUGACUUGUGAUACAUUUUGUAGGUGUUCAUUUUUGUUUUCUAAAUUUGUUAUCUAAAGGAAUGACAAGUUGACAACUCAGCCUCUCUCUCUCUCUCUCUCUCUCUCUCUCUCUGUGUGUCUGUGUCAGGGAUCUGAUUUGUGGAAAGAAAGAGAUCGGUUUGAAAGGUUUUCAUAUGCAUCCUUGGAACUUUGUAAGGUUUACAUGGAAAUUUCUUCCUCUUCUGGUAGCCGUCAAGAACUCUUUGCUGCUGAGAUGCACCUGAAGAACGUACUUAAACAAGUAAAAUACCUUAUAAUUCGAUAUUUAAGACACUUACAGAUGGUAUUACAUUGACAGCAGUAAAACAAAGAAGCAACUGAAAGUUAUCUUCAUAUGAGAAUGAAAGCUUUUCAGCAGCAUAAGCCUUUCACUAUUCAAUUCCAAACACGUUCCUCAACAUGAUAACAAAUUCGUAGACCUUUUCUGGGUCUGGAAGGAUCCUGUAACAGUUUCUCUUUGCAUGCACUUGUUCAUCCAUGCUGAGAAUUUGGGGCACUCAUUCUCAACCUUAAAUCCCCCAAAUUCCUCAACCGCGUAAAACCAUCAAGUCAGUGGAAUGGCAAUCACAUCAACGAAUCCAAAGCUGUCCCCGCCAAAGAAAUCCUUCUCCCCUAAAGCUCCCUCAAGUUGCUUCAAAAUCUCUAUAAAUUCAUUCUUCGCCGGGGACCUCGCCCUUCGUUUUGCAUAUGUUGCAGACUGGAUCGAAUACCUGCCAAAAAAGUGGUGUCAUCUUUUAAGUUCGCAUUUAGAAAGAUACAAACAUUUACACUUGAGAAUUAUAGACUGACCUUCUUGUCAAUAAAAUCUGCCCAGAACCUUGCCUUAGCUCUCUCAGAAGCACAGGAUGGGAGAAGUGAUGGCGAAGGCCAAGUCUCGUCAAUUUAGUUGACUAUAAUAGUGGAUUAACACAAUGGUUCCCCAUCGUGCAGCAAAACUGGGACUUUCUUGUAGAUGGGGUUUGAUUUGAGCAACAGGUCACUCUUGCCCCCGAACAAGUUCUCAGCUCUGGCUUCAUAUCCAACUCCUUUCUCAGCCAAUGCAAUCUUUGCUCUCAAGCAAAAUGGGCUAACCCAACAGUCCAAAAGAACAACCUCUCCCUUUGACAUAUUCAACUAUCAAGGUUGGUAUUUAUAUAGGAGAAAAGAUGAAAUUCCCAAAGAUUGUGUCGCAAUCAAGGUUUGUUCGUUGGCACUUCGAUAAAGGAUGUGGCCUUGUUCUUAUCAUUUCUUAGUUUUUGAAGCUAAAUGUUUUACUUGGCUUUCAACAGGCACAAGAACAAGUUUGUCUUGUGUAAAUAAAAUAAAACCAUAAAAUUCCAUUAUUAGUGUAAAACCAAAAUAAUUAAAAUAAUAAAAGUGAGUUAGUCGUGCGUGUGGACCUCCUCUUUAUGAGUUUGUUAUCACACCAUAUUUGGUUUCUAUAAAUAAAAUAACUAAAACUCUCUUAUCUAAGUAAGAAUAUUGUUAUUUUGAAAUACCAACUCAAUCUCUAACAAAUCUUGAGAUAUAACUUAAGAUUCUUGAGCUUCCAAUAUAAAACAAGUAAGAUUAACAUAACUUUUUCACUUCCUUCCAUCAAAGAAGGGAAUAAGUUAUAUAAUUUAAUUUAUGUUUAAUUAAAUUAUUUUAAAUGGGUAAUAAUUAUAAAUUUUUCCACUUUAUUUAAUUAACUAGAUAAGACCAUAUUGUAAAUUCUUACAUUUAUCACUUUAAUCUCUUUCCUUUUUCAUUCCAACUCCGGUACAAACUAUUCCUUUUCAAAAAGUUGUACUCAAAUUGAUAAGUCUUGGAAGACCAAAACACUAUUUAAAAUUUAUUAUUUGCUUUAGUAGCUUUCAUGGGUGCAAGGUAAGGAACAAAACUCGGUGGAUUUUAUGACAAAAGCUUUAUCUUAUGUAGCACUUUUUUCGAUAUCUCGAACUUUACUCUUUAAGAAUGUUGUAUAAUAUUUCUACAAUAACAACAAACAAAUUAUAACCCUGAAAGAUCUAUAUACACCUCGAUCUCUAGCUAGUUCUCUACAAAAUAUGGCACUAAGUAACAAUGUAAUCGGAGCCAUCAACUUUGUUGCCGUACUUCUUUCAAUCCCAGUCAUCGGUGCCGGAAUCUGGCUUGCCACCGAGGCAGACAAUUCUUGUGUCAAGCUUCUACAAUGGCCAGUCAUUAUUUUGGGAAUCUUGAUUCUAGUCGUGGCUCUAGCAGGCUUUAUUGGAGGAUUUUGGCGCAUCCCUUGGCUCCUUAUACUUUAUCUCGUUGCCAUGCUCAUUCUUAUAAUAUUGCUGGCUUGUCUAGUUGUUUUCAUUUACAUGGUCACGAUUAAGGGCUCAGGUCACCUUGCACCCAGUAGAGCGUACUUGGAAUACCGCCUCGAUGAUUUUUCUGGAUGGCUACGUAGAAGAGUUCGAAGCCCUUACAAAUGGGAUCGGAUCAAAAGCUGUCUCAGCUCGACACAGAUGUGCCCUGAGUUGAACCAUGUAAAAAUGAGUUGCAAAUACUGUUUGGUUACUGAGAAACAGAGAGAAAAUUGAUGAAUAUUCCAGAUCUUAUUAUUUCAUUAAUUACAAAUGAGUAAAUCACAAGUCUUUAUACUUGCAUUUCAUUAGUAAAAGCUAUUAACGAAACUGAUCUGUAUUAACUAACUAAUACUAACUAACUAAUCACGCGAACUCUCAUUGCUGCAUAACAGAAUCAGCUGACUCAGCAUUGUUGACGUGGCAUUGCUGACGCACCUUAGCUUCUGACUUCUUCUCUCUUCUUAGCUCAGCACAAUGAGCUUUCUUCACAGCCCCUCUCAAACUCAAGGGGCAUAAAUGCACAUUGAGUUUGUUCCUCAGAUAAAUGAACUGAGAAGAGUUUAAGGGCUUAGUCAUUAUGUCUGCUAUCUGUUCUGUACUAGGAACAUAUAGAAUCUUAAGAUCUCCAGUUAGAACCUUAUCUCUGAUAAAAUGCAGAUCGAUUUCUAUGUGUUUUGUUCUUGAGUGAAACACUGGAUUAUGAGCAAGAUCUUUGGCACUUACAUUGUCACACCAUAUAACUGGUUUCUCCACACGACAUAGAUUAAUCUCAAGAAACAAAGAUUUUAUCCAUGUUAUCUCUGAAACAGCUGCUGCAAGUGCUCUGUAUUCACUUUCUGCAGAAGAUUUUGUAACUACAGAUUGCUUCUUUGAGGACCAUGAGAUUAAGUUGUUUCCUAGGUACACACAAUAUGCACCAGUGGAUCUUCUGUCAUCAAGAUCACUUCCCCAGUCUGCAUCUGUAAAUGCUGUAACCUUCAGCUCACCUUUCUUAACAAAUUUCAGCCCAUAGUCUUGUGUUUCCUUCAGAUAUCUAAGCACACGUUUGCAUGCCAUAAGAUGUUGAAGUGUUGGUGAAGAUACAUACUGACUUAGCUUAUGAACUGAAUAGGCAAUUUCAGGUCUUGUCAAAACUAAAUACUGAAGACCUCCUACAAUGCUUCUGUAAUGAGAUGGAUCUUCUAUGUAAUAACCCAUUUCCCCUUCUAUAUUCUUCUGCAAUCUGUAAUCUUUGCUGCUGCUCAUUGGUGUAUCUAUUCCUUUACACUCGAGCAUAUCAGCUUUAGCCAGCAAGUCUCUGAUAUACUUCCUUUGUGAUAGAUACAUACGGCCAAGAUCAUACAAAACUUCAAUUCCAAGAAAAUAAGAUAACUUUCCCAGAUCCUUUAAUGCAAAUGCAGAACUGAAUAGCUUGAUAAAAUCUUCCAGCUCAUCACAAUUUGAUCCUGUAAUCAAUAUGUCAUCCACAUAUAUCAGGAUUAAAAUAAUUGAUCUUUUAUUCUUUUUCAAGAACAAAGAUGAGUCAGACUUAGAAUUCUCAAAUCCCCAUUGCACAAGACUGUUUCUCAGCUUGUCAAAACAUGCUCGUGGAGCUUGUUUCAAACCAUAAAGUGCCUUGUGAAGCUUGCACACAAAAUCAGGUCUUUUGGAAUCAAUAAACCCUUCUGGUUGACUCAUAUACACCUCCUCAAUUAAAUCUCCAUUUAAGAAUGCAUUAUUCACAUCAACCUGUCUUAUUUGCCACUGAUUCAUUACUGCUAGACUCAGGACUAUUCUAACUGUUGCUGCUUUCACCACUGGACUGAAAGUCUCAAAGUAGUUCACUCCUUCUAUUUGCUGAAAUCCUUUAGCAACCAACCUUGCCUUAUAUUUUGCAACACUUCCAUCAGUAUUUGAUUUCACUCGAAAUACCCAUUUGUUGCCAACAAGUUUGUGAUGUUCUGUUCUUGGCACAAGUGUCCAGGUACCAUUUGACAUUAGUGCAUCAUAUUCAGCUUUCAUUACUUGAAACCAUCUCUCAUCAUUGAUAGCCUCCUGAACUGUAUCUGGUUCUUUAUGCAACAAUACUGCAGUAUAUACCUUUGGCUUAAAGAUACCUGCUUUCCCUCUAGUGAUCAUGGGGUGUUGGUUUAGUGAUGGUGAGGUUGUCAUUGUUUGAUUGAGAUGAGGGAUAUUGUUAUUGUGUUGGUUUUGUGAAUUUUCAUUUGAGGGCUGUUCUAAUGUUGUGUCAGGUAUAGAAGGUAACAUUAUAGGUGCAGAUGGAUUAUUUCUGUCUGUGUUUGAGGGUUGUUGAUCUGUUACCUGUGUUGAGACUACUGUUGAAGGAAAAAUGUUGCCACUGGAGUAUGCUUGAGAGAAAGAUUCAUUGCUGGUGACUGAAAAAUCUGUUAUGACAGGUAAUGUUGAUAACUGGAAAACUUGUAUAGGAGUAAUUGUGCAAUAUGUAUCAGACUUAGAUUUAUUUGAAUUAUGAAAGCUAGGAUCAGCUGCAAAUGGAUAAGAGUGUUCAUCAAAGACAACAUGCCUAGCUAUAUAUAUAUGUCCAGAGGGGUGAUAACACUUGUAGCCUUUAUGAGAUGGACUAUAACCAAGAAAAAUGCAUUUGGUUGUGUGAUAGUCAAACUUGUGCUUAUUGUAAUCUCUCAGAUAUGGAUAACAAGCACAUCCAAAGCAUUUCAGCAUUUUAUAAUCAGCCUUGUGUUUAUAAAGCUUUUCAUAUGGAGUAGACAUCUUAAGUGCAGAAGUAGGGAGUCUAUUAAUGUGAUAGACUGAGGCAUGAAAAGCAUCCCACCAGAAUUGAAAAGGGAGUUUGGCUUGAGCUAGAAGUGUCAGUCCUAAUUCUACAAUUUGUCUGUGUUUUCUUUCAACAAGUCCAUUCUGAUGAUGAGUGUAAGGGCAAGAGUGUCUAAAGAGAAUGCCACAUUCAUUUAGAAAGGCAGUAAAUGGUCUGUAUUCUCCCCCCCAGUCAGAUUGUAGAAUUUUGAUAGAAGUUUGAAAUUGUUUUUCAACUUGAAGUUUGAACAGCUUGAACACUUCUAGAGCUUCUGAUUUAAGUUUCAAAGGAUAAAUCCAGGUGUAUCUGGUAUGAUCAUCCACAAAGCUAAUGUAAUAUCUAAAGCCAUCUCUAGAAUAUGCUGGUGAGGGACCCCAUAGAUCAGUGUGAACAAGUUCUAGAGCUGAUGUGGAUUUGAUAUCAGUGAUUGGAAAAUGAAGUUUAUGAAAUUUUCCUAGUUGACAUGCUUCACAGAAAUGCUUUGUAGCUUGAUUAACAAUAUUUGUAGAGCACAAAUUGGGAUGCACAAGCUUAAGCAAAUGAAUUAGACUUUGAGUAUUAGGAUGACCAAAUCGUUUGUGGAGUAAAGACAUUUUAUUGAAUGAAUUAGUGCUACAAGUAUUCUUAUUUGACUGAAAACAUUUUCCAGAACAAGAACUAUUAACUGAAGUGCUGAAAUAACACUGAGAUAGCAUGGACACAGGCUUAUUUAUUGAGCUCUGAGAUAGAAAAGAGGUAAAUGUAGAUUGUGAUGAUGAACUCAGCUGCAAUUUGUAUAAACCUUUCUCAGCAAUACCCAGUAGCAGAAUUUUCCCUUUCAGUAUAUCCUUCACAAAGCAAACAGAACCAAGGAAUUCAACAGAUAAGUCAUUAUCAGUGGUCAGUCUAGAAACACUUAUUAAAUUCUUUGUAAUAGAUGGAACAAGCAGUAUAUCUUUAAGUGCAAUGCAUGUACUUGCAUAUUGUAUUUUAGAGCUUUGAAUUGUAAGAUUGGCAUUACCAACAUGUGUGAUUGACAAACCUUUACCAUCACCAAUGAUAAGCUUGUCAUUACCUCUAAACUCAUUGCUGACAUGCAUAUUUGCCAUACUAUUUGUUAGAUGAUGUGUAGCUCCACUGUCAAGGUACCAUCCUUCAUCUGUUGGUCCUUCAAAGUUAGCAGCAUAAGCAGCUCCAGCUCCACUCACAGGUGAGCUCAUUGAGUCAGAUAUGUAUGAAGAAUAUGGUGUAUUAUACACGUGAGGUAUCCCUGAAUAAUCAGCUGCAGCAGGCCAUGAAUCUUCAGUAGGUGCAUUAAAAUAUGUCAUAUAGGCUGAUCUCUGAUUUCUUCCUCUUUUCAUGUGUUGAGGUAUAUAAUUUUCUUCAAACCUAUGCCAACAUUCUACUGCUGUGUGUCCAGAUUUAAAACAGAUCUGACAAACAACAGUCUGUUCCUCAUUACCAUCAGAAUUCGACAAACCAGAAUUAACACUAUAUUGUCCUCUCAUGAAUUGUGCCUGCUUAUUAUUGUUUCCAAUCAUUUGACCUCUGCCAAGAUUAUUACCAAGAUUUCCAGAUCCAGAGGGAAAGCCUCUUGGAUGAGAAUUGAUAAACAUUCCUCUUCCAGUAUGAAAAUUGUUUCUUCCAAAUUGAUUUCCACCAUGAAAUCCUCCAUUAUAUCCACCUCUUCGAGCACUACCUCUUGUUUGAGCAUAAUAAGCAUUCAUCAUACCAUAGCCAUUAUUAUUAUGAGAAACAUUAGCAAGAUUUGCAUUGAACAUCUGUUUUUCAUUUAGACUCUGUUCUAAUCUUGUUUCAUGCGUGAGCAGCAAUGCAUAGGAAUCAUCAAAAUCUAGCUUACUAGCAGUAAUGAAAGUUGCUAAAUCUAGAUAGCCUGGUCCAAGACCAUUAAGGAUCUGUUGUAACAGAUCUUUGUCAGAAACUGGACUACCAGCACAGGCUAAUUUAUCUGCUAUUUGUUUCAUUUUCAAACAAUAAUCUUCUACAUUUAGUGAAUCUUUUCUCAAAACACUCAUCUCAUAUUUGAGUUGAAGAACUCUAGCUUCAGAUUUUGCACCAAACUUUUUCUCCAAUGUUUUCCACACAUCAUAUGCAGUAUUACAAGAAUGAACAUGACUGAGAAUACCUUCAGUGAUUGAGCUUAAUAGCCAGCUUAGUAAUGUCUGAUCCUGUGACCUCCAGAUUAUAUAUUCUGGAUUUUCAACUUGUUGUGUAACUCUUCCCAUUGUUUCAGCAUAGCUUCCUGAAGUAAGAAAUUGAGUAGGUGCUGCCUUUUCUCCAUUGAUGUAGCCUUCAAGUCUGUUUCCUCUUAUAGAAGCUAAUACUUGAUUUCGCCAGAGCAUAUAAUUGGAUCUAUCCAAUUUGAUUGGCGUAAUGAAUGAGAAGGUAGUUUGUAUUGAUUGAUUCAUGUUUGUUGUGUUUGGAUUUGUGUUUAAAUUGCUUGAGCUUACCAUAUUUCUGGCUCUGAUACCAUGUAAAAAUGAGUUGCAAAUACUGUUUGGUUACUGAGAAACAGAGAGAAAAUUGAUAAAUAUUCUAGAUCUUAUUAUUUCAUUAAUUACAAAUGAGUAAAUCACAAGUCUUUAUACUUGCAUUUCAUUAGUAAAAGCUAUUAACGAAACUGAUCUGUAUUAACUAACUAAUACUAACUAACUAAUCACGCGAACUCUCAUUGCUGCAUAACAGAAUCAGCUGACUCAGCAUUGUUGACGUGGCAUUGCUGACGCACCUUAGCUUCUGACUUCUUCUCUCUUCUCAGCUCAGCACAAUGAGCUUUCUUCACAAACCAGAGUUAUAGGAUGGCUCAAGAUUUCUUCAAUGCACAUAUUACCCCUUUACAGGUAAUUAUAAUUAAUUAAGUUCUCGAUUACCAUUAAUUUUAUUUUAUUUUUUUCCAUUAAUUUCUAGAAAUUAAGAUUUAUUAGAACUCUAAAGUUAAAUUCUGAUUAAAAUUUUAAUUUUUAACGUACACAUUCCUCUUUAUAAUUAUGACCGUACGUAAUUUUAUAGCAGAGGAUAAUUCCUACCCAUUAAUUAAGCUAACCCACACGCCCAUGGAACAAUGAAGAAGUAGCUAAUAAAGUAAAAACACUGUAUUAGAUUCGGAAAACCAAGUUUCAAAUCUUCUUUUCAAAAAUAUUCUUCGUCUUUAUCUUUAUUGCGUGCCUUUGUGCUUUUUUUUUUCUAUUUAUUUAUUUUUCUUGUUUACAGUCUGGAUGUUGUAAGCCUCCGACAGAGUGUGGUUACACAUUUGUAAACCCAACAUAUUGGAUAAGUCCAAUUAACAACGCGGCGGACAUGGAUUGCCUACAGUGGAGCAAUGACCAAAUGCAGCUUUGCUAUAAUUGUGAUUCAUGCAAAGCAGGAUUACUUGCUAAUCUGAAAAAGGAGUGGAGAAGAGUAGAUAUCAUAUUACUCGUUACUCUUGUUGCUUUGAUAUGGGUUUAUCUGAUUGGAUGUUGUGCUUUUAGGAACGCCAAAACUGAAGACCUCUUUCGCAAGUACAAGCAAGGCACUUACACGUAAUUGUUAGCUGCACGUAAACUCUCUUUGAUAGUAAUAUUAAUGUGUAAUUAGGGACUGGCUUGAAUUGUUAUUUUGAUAAUUUUAUGAAUUUUUUGUUUAAGAUCCGUCUUCUUGGUUACUUACAUUUGGUUAAAUUAUGUGUGGGGUUUGAUUUGAUGACGACAUAAUCUUGAGUUGUGCGUGCGUGAUUUGUGGAGGGCGCCGAAAGUAGGUGGCUUUUGAAUAUUUGCUUUUUAAGGAGAAGGGAUUUCGCACUUCCGCUCCCUGCUUGCUCGCAUAGGGCAUUAAUUGUAGCUUUGAAAAAAGUUCUGCUUCAGCAUGCGCAAAAGUCAAAGAAAUGGGACAUGUGCUCAUGCAUUAUGCAGCCAGCAUAUGGGUGAUAGCAGACGUAUUUAAUCUUUUAGUCUUUGUUGACAACUCAGCCUCUCUCUCUCUCUCUCUCUCUCUCUCUCUCUCUCUCGCUGUGUCUCUGCGUCAGGGAUCUGAUUUGUGGGAAGAUAGAUAUCGGUUUAAAAGGUUUUCAUAUGCAUCCUUGGAACUUUGUAAGGUUUACAUGGAAAUUUCUUCCUCUUCCAGUGGCCGUCGAGAACUCUUUGCUGCUGAGAUGCACCUGAAGAACGUCCUUAAACAAGUAAAACACCUUAUAAUUCGAUAUUUAAGACACUUACAGUUGGUUUAAAGAUUGCAUUUUCCGUUUCUGUUUUUGACUGGUUCAGGGUAAAACUUUUUCUCACUGUGUUAGAGUGCAUUUCUGUUAUUAUAUAGUACCUGUCAAAAUUUUCCAUUCCAAUUAGUUACAGAGUGAAUUCUGUAAGGUGUGGCGCCCCCUUGAAGGCCAGGAGAGCCGUGUUUAGGGCUUAUCACCCCUCCAAGGUGUAAUCCCUUGUAUCCCUGUAGCUUAUACCAGAGGUCCGGAGUACUGCAGACUUGUGGAGAUACGGGGCUAUGAGUUUCCAUCUUUCGGACAUCACAACACUUGUUCUGGAGAAAUUAUGGGUUUAUUUCAGAACAGAGGAAGGUUACUUCAUUAAGAGGAAUGAGAGAUUUACAAUACACUAGAUUUAGGCUCCAAGACUCGAUGCCUAGAUACAAACCAAGGGUUCCCUUUUAUAGGCACAAGGGAACCACUAUUACACACUGUAGUCAUUAUUGAUCCUUAUCUCUAAGGAAUCUAUUUUACAACUCACUCCUUACUUUAUGUCACACUCAUACUCUCAUCCUUAUCACAAAGGAUGGUACACAAUACAUACGAAUACAAAUACAUAUAUUAUUAUUAUUAGAGAUACAAAUACAUAUAUUAUUAUUAUUAAAUAUACAAAUACAUAUACGAAUACAAAGGAUGGUACACAAUACACUCUGAUAAUAAUAAUAUAUGUAUUUGUAUUCGUAUGUAUUGUGUAUCAUCCUUUGUGAUAAGGAUGAGAGUGUGAGUGUGACAUAAAGUAAGGAGUGAGUUGUAAAGUAGAUUCCUUAGAGAUAAGGAUCAAUAAUGACUACAGUGUGUAAUAGUGGUUCCCUUGUGCCUAUAAAAGGGAACCCUUGGUUUGUAUCUAGGCAUCGAGUCUUGGAGCUUAAAUCUAGUGUAUUGUAAAUCUCUCAUUCCUCUUAAUGAAGUAACCUUCCUCUGUUCUGAAAUAAACCCAUUUUGGUAUCAGAGCCAUAUUUCCCAAAAGGAAACCCCUGGGUGUGCAACAAUAUUAUGCUCUGUGGUUGCCGAAACACUUCGGAUCCUCCACAUCAGAAAGUUGUUGAAUACUGAUCUACCUGUCAAAAUUUUCCAUUCCAAUUAGUUACAGAGUGAAUUCUGUAAGGUGUGGCGCCCCCUUGAAGGCCAGGAGAGCCGUGUUUAGGGCUUAUCACCCCAAAGAAAACCCUUUGUUUUCUCUUAGCCAUGGAAAACUCAAACAGUAAUAGAUCUGGAAACCAAACAGUUUCUGACCAAGGAUCCACUUCGGCUAUCAGAGUUCUAACUGAUAGUUCACCCUCUAUAAACUUCCAUUACGAAACCCAAGAGGAUGAAAGCAGUGAGAGAGCGGUUCAGUCCUUUAGACUUGAUCCGUUAGAUCCCUAUAGAUACUACCAUAUCAAUUCUACUCUUAAUCAAUUAAGAGCCAUAAUUCCUAUUAGACAACCCAAGCUUAAAACCAUCUAUAAAUCCUCUGAGAUUACUGUCCAGUUCAUCUCCUCCAGUUCUAAAGAAACAUACCUUCCUAUAAUCUCUACCAAUGAGGUUACAAGGUAUAAGCUACAGGGAUACAAGGGAUUACACCUUGGAGCAAUCUAGAUAGGAAUACAACCAUUGUUCCUAGCUGGAAAAGAUAUCACAUGCUUCAUUGCCAUCCUUGACACUAGAUGGCAAACUUUUGAGAAAGCCUUGAUCACUGCUGUCGAAGCAGGACUCAACCAAGGUCAUGUUGUUCUCCAAGUUGAACCCAACUUCACCCUUGACAUACACAAGCCAUUUCUCACAGAUGCCAUUAAGGUAUUAAUUCAGGUCAAUGGUCUAACCAUAAAACCUGAUGAAUCUGCCUUGGCAAUUCACCACACCAUGACCUAUAAAGUCCAAACCCAUCUGUUCUCUAUGAGCAGCUCUGGCAGGCCCAUUACCAGAUUUCUUGCUGGUGAUGGCAGAGUCUUUCAACCUCGGACUUAUAGGCAAAAUCAGCUCAUUUUUCUACCUCAAUGGAUCAAUGAGUAUGAAAAAAACAGCAAGCCUCAACAAAUCCAUGAGGUUCCAAAGAUAAGCCGGUUACAAGAAGGAAGGGUAUCAGUCUCUUUUCCCACUGAGACUAAAGCCCUCUAUCCAUGUGAAAAAUGCCAGCUUGAAGGAAGGCAUCCCUCCUUGUGCACUCAUAUGCCAAGAAGAAUCACCUCCUGCAGAAUCAUGGGUCCAAUUAACAUGAUCACCACUCCGGAUCUUGAUAAUGAAUUCCUCAAGGAUAUUCCUGGAGGAAUGUAUGUUGCCAAAUGGGUAAUACAAAAAACCAACCCAACUGAAUUUGGCCCAAUUGAGAAGGCGAUCAACUGGUCAAACAUCAAUGCUGUUGAACAGAACCAAGCGUUGGGAGACAUCAUGGUUACCCAACAGCAAAUUCUUGCUGACUUAGCUGUUAUCAGAAAACAGCUAAAGAAAACCAGAAAACAGCAUAAGGUGACUACCCAGCAGUUUUCCCAAAUGCAUGACAGUGCCUCCAGAUCUAUCAACAUGAUCGUAAUGACCGGAGCUGCAGAUGAGGACGGAAUGAGAAGAACCAGAGAAAGCUAUCAAAGGACAAAAGUGUCCAGGCACUGGAAGAGCAAGCCCACAAAGCCAUGGCAUGUCUGGGAAGAAAAUGCAUCUGGCAACUGUCAAAAGGCAUUUUGGAGAAGCUAUGCUCCACCUCCACAAUAUCCAUGGCCCACUAAGGCUACAGGAUGGGAUGAGGAUAAAGAUACGGAUACUGAAACAAGUAUCUCCUCUGAUGACCAGAUCCCUCUUAUACCAAUUCUUAUGCAAAGAGCAAAUCCUCCAAAUCCAUUCUAUGUGGAUACUCGAGCUAGAUUUGCAGCAUCCACACCAACACAGGGUCAAACCUCUGAUCCUACAAGACAAGAGCAAACUCAACACCCAUCAGGAACAACCCAGUUCACUGCCCCAGAAUUCGCUAAUCCUGCUGCCCAACCAGAAGCAUCUGGAGUAGAAUCCACAAAUCAAGAAGACAGGGCACCACAUAUUGAUGAGGUAAAUCAGGGAGACGAAUGGGAAACCCGUGUCCAACUUGGGCAUUCUACGACGGGAAAAAUGUUCUGGAACAUCGAUAGAAUGAAGCCAAAAGAAAUAUUGGCUUACUUUGAAAAGAUGGUAGCUUGGUAUGAAGGAGAAUGCCAACGAACUCCCCAGUUGAGCAGAAGAUCGGCAGCAAUGAGACUUGUUGCAGGAUUCGUUGGAUCAUUGAGAAGAUGGUGGGGAAGAAAGCUCAGCAGAGAACAAAAGGAAUUCAUACUCAGCAGAGAAGACCCUUGUGGAAGCUUGGUAGAAAAUCUAUCCUUGGAUUUUCUCGGCCAACACACAAGAGAAGAAGAAGUAGCUGAAAAACAAUUUCUCCAGAACAAGUGUUGUGAUGUCCGAAAGAUGGAAGAGUACUACCUAGAGCAAGAAAGGUUGUACUACAUCUUUGACAAACAAACUGACACCAUCCACAGAACAUUCGUGCUAAACAUGCCAGGCCCAGUAGCGGAAAUGAUGGAGGCUAAAUUCAAAGCUGAUGCAAUUGUUGAUUUAGCACAGCUUAGCCUUGCUCAGCUCUAUCAGAUAUCUAUGGAGCUGAUCCAAAGUCAUUGCAGAUCUCAAGACUUAAGAAGGCACAUGAAGCAGAUUGAGAAAUCCUCUCUGCAAAAAUUCUGUAAUGAGGAACCAAACAAAUUUGGUUGCCACCAUACAGACAAAAUGUGCUCUUGCAAGAACAACAGGCAGAAAAGGCCAAAGAAACCCUGGAAGCCCUACAAAGGAAAGAAAUACCGUUUCAUCAAAAAACGAAAACAAAAGAAAGGCUCGGGGAGAUGUUUCAUUUGCGGAAAGAAAGGUCACUAUGCCAAACAGUGCAAAUCCAAGAAAAGACUUCCAGCAAAACUUCUCCAGAUGAUCCAGCAGGAAGAUUUUGAUGAUGACAUCUAUACCUGGUCAGAUAGCCCUACGGUGUUGUAUACACAAUGGAUAAAUAUCCUCUUUCAGACGACGAUGAUACAGAUUCUCUUUCUAGCACUGACAGUGAUUCUGAUGAUGAUCCUGUCAUGACCAUCCAUGAGCCUCUCCAAGCUAACCUGGCAAUGGCCCCUGCCUCUCUCUUCAGACCACAUAUAAAGGUUAUCCUCAACCCAUCUGAGGAUAAACAGGUAGCACUCACUGCUCUUAUUGACACUGGAGCAAUGUGCUCAUUCAUUCGAGAAGCUUGUGUUCCUUCCACCUUUUAUGUUCCUACUAAGGUCUCGUUUGGCUCCGCUAGUGGAAGUAACUUCUCCAGUAAAAAGAUUACCCGGCCUAUAGAAAUCCAGCCCUUUAUGAUAAGGCAUGGCUUCUUUGCCUUUGAUUAUUCAGGCGAAGAUAUCUUGCCAGGCACCGACUUUUUAAGUCUGAUUGCCCCUUUUGCCUUCUUUCCCGAUGGCUUCUCUUAUACCAUUCGGAAUCCUCACACGGGCACCACUAACACUUUCUGGGUACCCUGGGUUGAAAAACAAUCCAUUUUUGGGGAGGGUGGAAAACUACAAAAUUACACCAUCCAUAAAUAUGAACCCCAAAUUAAAGAACUCCUUGAAUGCUGUGCAGAAGUGCCAAACCAGUUUUGGGCUAGAGAACAACAUUUUGUGUCUCUACCAUACAAGGAUGGAUGGACCAUGCCUCACCAGACGGCCUCUCAUCCAGGCAUUCCUCAUGACGAAGAACUAUGCAAAACAGAGAUCCAGGCUCUUAUGGAUCUAGAGCUCAUCAGGCCCUCUAAGUCUCAUUGGGCUAGCCCAGCAUUUUAUGUCAACAAGCAUUCAGAACAGAUACGUGGAAAAAAGCGAUUGGUAAUUCACUACAGAAAACUGAAUGAUUGCUUGCAGGACAUAAGAUACCCCAUUCCACGGAGGACACACAUUUUAAAACGCAUUGCUGGUGCAAAAGUGUUUUCAAAGUUUGACAUGAAGUCAGGCUUUUGGCAAAUUGGGAUUAAAGAAGAAGACAGACACAAGACAGCAUUUGUGGUCCCCCACGGGCAUUAUGAAUGGAAUGUGAUGCCUUUUGGCCUAAAGAAUACACCGUCAGAAUUCCAAAACAGAAUGGAUGAGGUGUACAAAUCUAUCUCAGGAUUUUGCCUUAUCUACAUUGACGAUGCUCUUAUCUUCAGCAACAGUGAAGAAGAACAUGCUGAACACCUGUCCCAAUUCAAGGCACUAACCUAUAAACAUGGGUUAGCUUUGUCAGAAUCCAAAAUGAAGAUAGGCCUUGAUGAGGUGGACUUUCUAGGAUUACACAUCAAGCAGAGAUUCAUCAUUCCUCAGCCACAUAUAGCUGAAAAAAUAUCCCAAUUCCCAGACCAGCUGUCAACCAGAAAGCAGAUCCACCAGUUCCUCGGGAUAAUCAACUAUGCAGCAGACCAUGUGCAGGAUCUGUCAAAGAUGACGAGAGUCAGAUAUCAAAGCACUUAAAGAAGAGUGCCCCACAAUGGUCGGAAGACGCAACAAAAGCAGUGACAGACUUAAAGCAAAAGUGCCAGUCACUUCCACCAUUAAAGAUACCUGACAAGGGACAGCUCAUCCUCCAGACAGAUGCAAGUGACCAUUAUUGGGGAGCACUGUUGAUAGAGGAAUCCGAGGGAAACAGAAAAGUGUGUGGCUAUAAAUCAGGCCAGUUCAACGAUGCUCAAAGCCACUACCCCUCCUCCAAAAAAGAAGUCUUAGCAGUUGUCAAAGGGAUCAAAAACUUUCAAUUCUUUCUUUCACUAACUCCCUUUGUGAUUGAAACAGACUACAAAUACCUACAGGGAUUACUCAGGAGAAAAGAAGGAGAAAUACCAGAUCCACAGCUUGCAAGGUGGUCUGAGUCUCUCUCGAGAUUCAAGUUUGAAGUAAAGCACAUCAAAGGAGAAUCCAACACUGUUGCGGAUUUCCUUUCCAGACCGAUCACCAUGAUCAAAAGAAGAAGCCUUCCAAAAAGAUGGGACGAAGGCAGUUCUAGUGCUCACGCAGCCCGAGCACACUUUCUCAAAGAUCUUAACAUCUUCAUUGCUUGGCUUCCUUCGGAAGUUCAAGAUGACAUCUUUGAGAAAGUCAUCUGCCACAAAAGAGAUCCAGAAGAUCAAGCUCUGACAUGGCGGGUAUGGCAGCUCAUGGCCAUGCAGGAACACAGACCUGCCCAUAACAAACAAUGUCAAAGAGCUUUUGAUCCACAUCCAAAUCCUGACCAGAUGCAUGAAACGGUCUUCAAGGUCGGUUGCACCUUCCACUAUGUAAUAGACGAGAACUCCAACUGGGGUCACUAUGUUAUCUGCGAUAUAACCCCUCAAGCCUAUUACAUAACUUGGUACUGGCCCAACAUUUACCCAGUGGCAAUCCUGUUUGAACCACAUCUGAUCCAUACCAGCAGGAGAUAUGGGAAGGGAAGAUGGUUCGACCGAAUGUUCGCUCCUAUCUUCGAAGACAUCCUAACACUCCGGCUAAUCAACGGAUAUCACAUCACUCACUCUACUAUAGUGAUUGUGAAACUCACAGAUAUCUGGGGAAGAUACAAGCAGCCUCUUGUGCAGGUGGUCCAGCAUGACCUCAACCAUGAAGAAAUUGAUUCCAUGUGGACAGGCUGUUGGAAUGCUAGAAAAGCUUUAGCUGAGGUAUACGGAACUAUUCCAAUGUAUAAUACUCAUAGCCCCGUAUCUUCACAAGUCUGCAGUACUCCGGACCUCUACUACAGAGAGGAGAUCAGGAAUCUCAAGCUUCAUGGAGAAGAAGAUGAAGCAGCAGACUUGCAGCAGUGGUAUAAUGAUUACCUCACUCGCCAUGGCAGGCCAAAAGAAGUCACUUAUCUGGACACUCCAGAUAUUGAAAGAUGGAGGAACGAGCUUGAAGAAAUGGCCCAUUGGCUAGACCUCCAAGAUUGGCCCCAACCUGAGUUAGACCCCCAGCCGGAUAACAUUGAAGAUCCCAUAUGGCCAAAUAUGGGAGAAGAUAUGGAUGCAGCAUCCGAAGAACGAUGGAACCACAGGUCAGGACGUAGCACACCAACAAGUGGCAACUCUGGACUAUAGCGGAAGCUUAGUGGACCCUACAGUGGAAGCAAUGGUGAUAAUAAUAUAUGUAUUUGCAUUCGUAUGUAUUGUGUACCAUCCUUUGUGAUAAGGAUGAGAGUGUGAGUGUGACAUAAAGUAAGGAGUGAGUUGUAAAGUAGAUUCCUUAGAGAUAAGGAUCAAUAAUGACUACAGUGUGUAAUAGUGGUUCCCUUGUGCCUAUAAAAGGGAACCCUUGGUUUGUAUCUAGGCAUCGAGUCUUGGAGCCUAAAUCUAGUGUAUUGUAAAUCUCUCAUUCCUCUUAAUGAAGUAACCUUCCUCUGUUCUGAAAUAAACCCAUUUCAUGGUUAGACCAUUGACCUGAAUUAAUACCUUAAUGGCAUCUGUGAGAGAUGGCUUGUGUAUGUCAAGGGUGAAGUUGGGUUCAACUUGGAGAACAACAUGACCUUGGUUGAGUCCUGCUUCGACAGCAAUGAGAAGAAAAUGCACUUUUUGGAAUCUCAGGCUGAAGGAUUUUUGGUGCUUUAACUAAUCUCAUUUGACAAUGUAAAUAUAUGGCUUCAAUUUCUUUAAAUGUAAUAGCAAGUGUUGUUUUCGACCUCUGUUCUUUUAUGCAUUGCUUACAUGCCGUGAUUUCAUUAACCUAAAUUUAAGAACUGUUUGAGGGAAAUACAUCGAGGAGACCAGACGUGAUGAGCAGGUGUUUGGUGGUGGAGUUCUGCGAGCAGGAAUAUUCUCCUCGUCCACGAAUAUGCCAUUCGCGAGACCGAAUUCAUGUUAGAGGCAUAAGGUCAUUCCUGCUAAGGGUCGAGGCGAGGAGACCCGGUCAACGGCAGUUGGCAAGACGUGCCUUCCUAUCCGAGAAUCAAGGCACGAGGUCCAUCUCCAUUUGCCCACAAUGACGACAAUGGGGCAUCCACAUCCGAGGGUGGGGAGAAUAACGGGCGUAAACUGCGGAAGAUCGGGACUCAGAGGAAGCCUAUAAAAAGGUAGCCAACAAAGGUAAAAGGGUUAGAUUUUUUGCUAUUUGAACUAAGAAAAUAGAGAACUCGAAGGUCUGAGAUUAGUGAAAAGCCAUAAGAUCCGUGGCAAGCAUUCCCAGAACCUUCAUAUCUGACUUGAGCGUCGGAGGGUUUACGCCGGGAAAACAACCGGCGUGCUCUGACCUGUUUCUGUGGACGCAAGGAUACUUAGAGAAGAAAGCGUACGAGGAGAGAUCCUGAUCGAGGUGAGGUUGAUCGAGCAGACAUCCUGGUCGUUGGAAGGUGUAACCAGAAUCUCGCAUCAACAAGAACAAUUUCAUAUAAUUUUUUUUCUGCUUUUCUUUUAUCAUUUAAAAACAAUACUACGCACACACACACGCAUAUAUUUCAGAAAGCAUUUAAACAAAGCAACCGAACGUUGCUGGUUUCUAUUAUUACAUCGACAACAAUAAAGCAAAGAAGCAACUGAAAGUUAUCUUCAUAUGAGAAUGAAAGCUUUUCAGCAGCAUAAACCUUUCACUAUUCAAUUCCAAACAUGUUCCUCAACAUGAUAACAAAUUCGUAGACCUUUUCUAGGUCUAGAAGGAUCCUGGCAACAGUAUCUCUUUGCAUGCACUUGUUCAUCCAUGCUGAGAAUUUGGGGCACUCAUUCUCAAGCUUAAAUCCCCCAAAUUUCUCAACCGCGUAAAACCAACAAGUCAGUGGAAUGGAAAUGACAUCAACGAAUCCAAAGCUAUCCCCGCCAAAGAAAUCCUUCUCCCCUAAAGCGCCCUCAAGUUGCUUCAAAAUCUCUAUAAAUUCAUUCUUCGCGGUCUCUGGGACCUCGCCCUUGCUUUUCCAUAUGUUGCAUACUGCAUCGAAUACCUGCCAAAAAAGUGGUGUCAUCUUUUAAGUUCACAUUUAGAAAGAUACAAACAUUUACACUUGAGAAUUAUAGACUGACCUUCUUGUCAAUAAAAUCUUGCCUUAGCUCUCUCAUAAGCACAGGAUGGGAGAAGUGGUGGCGAAGGCCAAGUCUCGUCAAUGUAGUUAACUAUAAUAGUGGAUUCACACAAUGGUUUCCCAUCGUGCAGCAAAACUGGGACUUUCUUGUAGAUGGGUUUGAUUUGAGCAACAGGUCACUCUUGCCCCCAAACAAGUUCUCAGCUCUGGCUUCAUAUUCAACUCCUUUCUCAGCCAAUGCAAUCUUUGCUCUCAAGCAAAAUGGGCUAGCCCAACAAUCCAAAAGAACAACCUCUCCCUUCGACAUAUUCACUUUCUUUGUUCUUGUUUCUUUUACUUGGUUGAUAGUAAUUAAACCUUGAGUAUCAAGGUUGGCAUUUAUAAAGGAUAAAAGAUGAAAUUCCCAAAGUUUGUGUCGCAAUCAACGUUUGUUCGUUGGCACUUCCUUAAAGGAUGUGGCAUUAUUCUUAUCAUUUCUUAGUUUUUGAAGCUAACUGUUUUACUUGGCUUUCAACAUGCACAAGAACAAGUUUGUCUUGUGCAUACGGAGUUUACUAUGGACAAGCCGAAUUGUAAGUAACCAUUUACACUAAUCAAUCGGUAUUGUCCAAUGAAAAUAAGUAAUGUAAACUUAUCAAAAAAAAAAGUAAUGUAAAAAGUGUCUAGGAUUUUGCCUAAUAUUUCUUAAAAUAGGCUAAUUAAGCCCAAUUCUGGUGCUAGAUUGGUUCAACUUUGAAUCAAACUUGGAAACAUUUUGCUUUAGAUUAUUAUUAUUAAUUUAGAAGAGUCAAAAAGCUAAGAGUAUCGUUGGUAAAGCUCAAACAUGUGUAAUAUCACAUAUUACUUCUUUUUUUUUUUUAUACAAGUAAUAUCACAUAUUACUAGUGAGUGAGUUUCAUAAACUUUCCUAUUGAAAAAGACACAUUUUGGGUUGUAAAUCCUAACACAAUAUUUAUUCAGUUGUUGAGCCUGAAAUAUUACAGAUAUAUCAAAUAUUAUUUGAUGUGGGCGCACAACCCUGCGUCUUCUUAAUUAGGACAACCAAUGAAACCCUGCGUCUUCUUACAUAACUUGUAUGUACACAUUGGCGGGAUAUCCCAAUUAUGUACUCGUUUGUCUUCAUGUGUUUUAAAAAAAUCUAUUGUAAUGGAUAUAUUGUAAAUUUAUCUAAUUGCUUGUUAUAAUGCUUCUAUUGCGGUGUUAUUCGAGCUGUCAUUUUCAGUUUUAUUUUGUUUUUUCUUUAAACAUAGUUAAUUUGAAAUCCAUUACACUUGAAUCAUCAAAUAAGUGAUUCUCGAACAUAAUUGCUGUUGUUACUCGAAUAAGAAAAGAAAACAAAGUAUAGCUAAGAUAAAAGCAAAUGGAAAUGAGAGCAACGUGAUUUUGCAAAGAGAACUUCACACUAUCAUAAAACCAAAAACAUUAAAAUUUAAAACUUAAAUAACAACACACCAAAGCCAAAUAACGACCCACUAGAAUCAUGGUCCAAAGAUUGUACCAUGAUCACAACAUGAACUACAAAAAAAUAACCAACACCUGAAAAGUAGGAACAGUUUGAAACUUUCAACUAAAGUGGGAAAGACCAGGAUGGCACUGCAUGCCCAGCCCACCAACAUUAAAUGCUUUUUUCCCUUAUAAUUUAUCAGUCACAUAAUUUAGAGUGAAGACUUUAAUGCUGUGUUUACUUGCUGGAGUGGGAGUGAGGAGUGUGGAUUCCUCCCACUCCAGCGUUUACUUUCUCUGAAUGGGAAGGGAGUGGGAAUUCCACUCCGUGGGCCCCACCCAUUUUUGGAGUGGGGAGUGGGAGUGGGACUCCCAUAUUCCCACUCCCACCUCUCCCUUUUUUACCCUUUUAUUUUUUUAAUUUAAUUUAAUUUAAUAUUUUAUAAUUAAUAAAAUAAAAUAAAUAUUAUUAUAUUUAUUUGAAUAAUAAUAUUAUAUUUAACUAAAUAAUAAUUUGCAUUGAUUCUAAGUUAAAAUUAUUUUAAAAUAAUAUUAUUAUAUUAAUAGAGAAUUAAUAAAUAUAAUAUUAUUAUAUUUAUUUUAAAAAUAAUAGUACUAUAUUUAUUUAAUAUUAAUAAAUAGUUUAUUCUAAGAAAAUAUUAAUUUUGUACUAAAUAAUAUUAUAUUAUUAUUUUAUAUAAUAAUAAAUUUAAUAUAAUUAUAUUAAAUAAAAUAAGGUUUCAUUUUGUAUUAAAAUUAAUAAUUUAUUGUUGAUAAUUAAGAAUAUUAAUAAUUAUAAUAAAUUUACAAAUAUAAUAAAAUAAAUAUUAUUCAUUAAAUAUAUUUUUUAUUAGUUUUGUAAUUAAAAAUUAUAAUUCUUUAAAUAAGAAUAAAAUUGUAAUUUGAAACUAUUUACUCCCAAUCCAAGACAAAGUAAACACAUAAAUUGGAUUUUGAUCUCUAUUCCAUGCUUCCAUUCCAGUGUAAGUAAACAACCUACUCUCACUCCCACUCCACACUCUCAAUCCUAGGAUUUCCACUCCUCAGGAUUCCCAAUCCAAUCCAAAAAGUAAACGCUACCUAAAAGCAAAUAAAUGAAUUGGCUGAAUCUAGCUAGGAUGCCAGGAUGGGCACGGAUCCACAGAUAACAAGUAACAGUCUUUAAAUCUUCUGUUGUAAGUUCUUACGCCCCUUUUUUUUUAUACGACGAACCCCCGAUUCUACCCUCCAAAAUCAACAAUAGAGAAUUUAGUCUUAGCCUCUCAAGAUGCACUCAAACCUAAGGAUGGCAAUGGAUCAGAUCUGACCCAAGAUCCAUGUGAUCCAAAUCCAAUUGGAUCGAAUUUGGGUCGGAUUAAAAUAGAUUUGGAUCGGAUUUGGAUAUCGAUGCGUGGAUCUAAGGCGGAUCUGGAGCAAAUUCAGAUUUAUCUUAAUAUCUAUAUCCAAAUCCAUAUCCACUCACCAUUUAAUGUAAUUUUAUUUUAAAAAAUUCUUAACAAUUAUGUAAUUAUAAAUGAUGAUAAAAUUUAUUCAUUAGCAUGUAUUUAAGAAUCUUAAAACUUAAAGGUACUUAAUUGAUAAUAAGAUAAAAAUUUAUCAAGUGUAAAAUAAAAUUAGGAUAGUCUGCCCUAAUUUUUUUAAGUUUUUCACUCUACAAUUUAGUCUCUUUUUUCCUCUUUAGUCUACUCUCGCUUCUCCACUUCAUUUGAAUGCUUGGAUCAGUUCUUUAAUUGUUAGGAAAAUCCAUAGACUUGAGUUUAUUUUUCUAUCAUUUUCUCAUAAUCUUAUUUAUUUUGUAUAAUCACUAAUCAAUGGUGGCUAUCAACUAUAAAAUAAUUAUGUUAAUCAUAUAUUUAGUUAAAUAUGAUCAUAAUAAAAAUAAUAAAGCACUGAAUAUAAUAAAUCAUUUUUAACUUAUAUGUUAUUAUUUAAUGAUAUAGGAAUGAUGAUGGUGUGCAGUGGAUAUCAAGAUAGUAAAUGAGACAUUAGAAUAUUAUAAUGAUCUUAUUCAUGCAAUUACUUUUUAUCGAUAUUUUAUUAUCUUUUUUAUUUGUUUAUUUUGGUGUAAAAGCAGAAGCUACAAUACUUAUUAGAUUUUUUGUACAAAUUAUAUAAUUUAAUUGUUACCAAUGCAUUUUAGUCUUAAAUUUUUUUUCUAAAAAAAAUUGAUCUCUUAUUAUUGAGAUUUAGAAUUCAUGAUGGAUCUAGAGCAUAUUUAGAUUGUAAUUUUUCAAUUUGGAUUUGGAGCAGAUAUAGAUCUUUAUUUUUGUUUCGAAUCUAGAUAUGGAGCGAAAAUAUAGAUCCAUAACGGAUCUGGAGCAGAUACAGAUCUUAAUUUUUAUUACGGAUCUGGAUAUGGAGCAAUGUAGAUCCAAUCCAUAUCUGCUCCAUUGCCAUCCCUACUCAAACCUUGAGUAUGGUUUUUACUUACGUAUUAUCGAUUAUGAUUUUAACUAAUCUCUCUUGUCAACGAACUUUUGGUUGAUUAUGGACGCCUUUUUUUUUUUAAUCUAAACAAUAUAAGAUUUCGUACAAAUUGAAUUUGUAUAGACCUCAUCAUUUGGAACUUGUGUUGUAUCCAAAAAUAUCACCCAACCCAAAGAAAAUAAGUUCAAUUCUAUAACUCAUUCAUUUUUCUUAUAGCCCAAUGGAUUGAGAGAAUAGGCGUCAGAGGAAACUUUAUUUCAAUAUAUAAAUAUAGGCUUGCAUACAAUGCAAAAUCAUAUAUUCGAACCAAUAGGCGAAGCAUUGUCCCUCGUUGAUCCACAUGAGCCAACUAGUCAAAGUGGAUCCACAUGAGCCACUUUACAGACUGGGCAUGCAUUGCAACUGUUCAUUUUUGCUUCUGCCAAUAAAGAGUUGAUAGUAACCAAAGAUUGUAUUCUUUAUUGUCAUUUGAGAGUAACCAAUUACUUAGGCAGUCACGUAAGUUGCUGGUUGGCCUCGCACAUUUUUGACCAGCUUGUUUCUGAAGGAAACCAGCUGAGCUGCAACCUCUUCCAUGCUCAUUCGUUCUCUCGGCAACUCUGAAGAGCAAGUGACUCCGAUUGCCAGUACUGAAACCAAGCACUCUUUAACACUAAAACUUCUGGUCCAUUGUUUGUGAGCAUUGGCCUUGCUUGUCUCCCCUUCUUCUCUUUCUACAAGAAGCACUGGAUCAACAAUUUCAGCGAGUCUUUCAGGAAGAGCUUCCUUGACAAAAUUAUGUAGGGUUAGAUUGCCUGUAAACAUCUCAUUCGUCGGCCCCUUUCCUGUAAACAUUUCCAGCAAGAGUAUUCCAAAACUGUACACAUCUCCACUUGUUGAGACUUCGCUCCCCAUUCCGUACUCUGCAAUUCGAAAACUAAAAUUGUUGGUUCAACUAGUAAAAUCUCUAAGGAUUGAAAGACAAGUUAAUUAAAUUAUUGUAUUUACCUGGUGCAGCAUAACCAACGGUUCCUUUUACUCCAACAGAGCUUGAUUGAUUAGAUGACAAGUUAUUGGUGGCUUCCGGAAGGAAUUUUGCUAAUCCAAAAUCACCUACAUGGGCAGUCAAUUCACCAUCCAGAAGAACAUUGCUUGGCUUGAGAUCACAAUGGACUAUUGGAGUUUCGCAAUAAUGAUGAAGAUAAUCCAAUGCGGAAGCAACAUCAACGGCAAUAUUCAGUCUUUGCAGGAGAUUUAAGUUCCUUGGUGCCUCAGCGUUCGGAUGCAACCAUUCCUCCAGGCUCCCGUUGACCAUGAACUCAUAAACUAAAGCCUCGAAAUCAUUUCCUUGGAAGUCAACACUUGCACAGGAAGUUAUUAUUUUGACAAGAUUCCGAUGCCUAAUACUCCUCAAGGCUUGACACUCCGCUAUGAAACUCUUUGAAGCUCCACGAUGCUGAAGAUUAAGUACCUUAACUGCCACCAGCGUUUCAUGAUCAUCGUGACUGAGGAUUCCUUUAUAGACCGAACCAAAGCUACCGGCACCAAUCAAGUUUUCCAAAGAGAACCCAUCAGUUGCUUUGAACAGAUUCUCAUAGGACACUCGUAAAACCGAAGCCAAGAAUGCUGAUGGAGUGGCCGGCUCCCUUUUUGAUUUGCUCCGCCAGGAAGUAAUUAUAAAACACGACAUCCCUGUCACUAACAAAAUUACUGUAACUACAGGAAUCAUCAGUUUCAGGGAACGGGAACGUGACUGCUUGGAUUCUUUGAUGGAACAAGUAGAUAAAUGCAACUCAGAUAUGCCACCACAGAGGUUAUCAUUUCCAUCAAGAGAUAUAGCACUUGAAUUGCUGAAGACUCCUUUUACUGGUACUUCACCCUCAAAAUGAUUAAAAGACAGAUUUAAAUUCUGCAAAAAGGGAAAGUUUUCCAAAUAUUUUGGAAUCCGGCCGGACAAAUUGUUCCGCGAAAGAUCAAGAUUCUCAAUGCCUCUCAAAGAACUGAAUGACGAAGGUAUAUUCCCUUGAAAGAAAUUACCAUUCAUGAUGAGUUGCACCAACAAAAUGCAACUUCCUAAACUACUUGGAAUUUCACCAGACAAUUUGUUCUCAGAUAUAUCUAUAAAACCCAGAUUUUUCAAGAUACCAAAAUUUGAGGGCAUAGGACCAUUCAACUGGUUUUGAGAUAGAUCAAGAUAGAUUGACAAGGAAGAGAGGCCAAUUACUUCAGUGGGUAUGGUACCACUGAGGUUGUUAUUAGAAAGAUUUAAUGAUAUUAAGUUUUGGCAUUUCCCCAGACUUGAUGGAAUGCUUCCCUCUAACAUGUUUUCCUCAAAAUUUAGUGUAGUUAACAAUGUCAAAUUUCCUAUAGAAGAUGGAAUUUCCCCCCAAAACUUGUUCCCCUUCAGGCCCAACCUCUGCAGCUUUUGAAGAUCUCCUAUACUUUCCGGAAUUCGGCCUGUGAAUUUGUUGCCCCCCAGAUGUAAAAGCUCCAAGUUAACAAGAUUUCUUAAUCCACUUGGGAUAUUUCCGAACAACUGAUUGUUUCCAACUGAUAAUAUUGCAAGUCGGUUUGACAAGUUCCCUACUGUUUCAGGUAACAUUCCACCAAAAUUGUUAUCACUAAUUUGCAGUAGCUCUAGUCUAGAAGCGUUAACCAAAGAAUUGACAAAUUCCAAGUUAUCUUUUUCCCCAUAAUUUCCUAAGUGAUUCUGAGAAAUACUAACCCAUUGGAGUUUAUGUAAAUUUUCCAAACUAGGCACCCUUCCACUGAAUCCAUUCUUUGCGAUUGUAAGUCUCAUUAGAUUUGAGGCAUUGGAUAUUGAAGCCGGAAUAGGUCCGGUAAACUGAUUACCACCAACGUUUAGUACUUCAAGUUUAGGAAGAGUGAAGCCUAAGUCUGAUGGAAGGCUUCCUUGAAGUUGGUUAAAAGGAAAAUAAAAACCACUAAGCCAAGACAAGUUGUAGAUUGAAAAGGGGAUUUCACCUGAUAGCUUAUUUGCUCCAAACGAUAUAUAACGCAUCAUCUUAAGCUCGCUCAGGGUUUCAGGAAUUUGUCCCACAAAUUGAUUUGCAGCUGCUGAGAGGACCUGGAGUGAUGACAAAUUGCCGAAGGAAGGUGGGAUUUCUCCUGACAAAUUGUUGGAGUGUAUUACGAGAAUCCGGAGCUUUGGUAAGGAGCCCAGUUUCCCUGGAACUUUCCCCACUAGCUCAUUGAAGUCUAACCAGAGGGAUUCAAGGUUAACGCAAUGCGAUAUGUUGUCAGGAAUUUGACCUCCGAAUGUAUUGUUGUCCAGCCUUAAAAUUCGUAACCUGAACAGAUAUCCAAUCGCUUGAGGGAUUUCGUUGCGGAGGCUAUUGUUUUUUAGAUCUAACACUCUGAGAAAACUCAAAUUACCAAUGUGAGGCGAAAGAGACCCCUGCAAGAGUAAAGAUGGAAGACGUAAUCCAGUCACCCUUUGGUGCCGUCGACUGCAAGUGACACCUUUCCAUUGACAAAAGUGCCUGGAAUAGUUCCAUGAACUCAAAACCUCAAGAGGGUCAUGAGUAACUUUGGCCUUGAAUUCAAGCAAUGCAAGUUGAUCAGUUUCAUUGCUUUUGAGCAUAUAAUCGGUUGACUGCAAGCUGAAGCUGACGCAACAGAAAAUAAAGAAACAAAUGCUUACAAUGAUUGAACUCAUCAUGUUUACAAAAUCCAUUUAACUGCCGAAAGGAAAUUAAAAUGAUAAAACUUUUAUAGAGGUUGGUAAGAUAAACUAUGUUUGUAUAUUUUUUGCAAUGAUUUAUGGACUCUGUACUUGAUGCUCAAAUGUGAACCGGCUGGCACCGUGACAGUGAAACUAAUGCUUUUUAUUUUUCUAAUAAUAUUAAUUAUCAAAUUUAUUACUAUUGUAAGAAUAAUAUAAUACAGCUUUUCCUUUAAGGAAGACCCGCCACACUAACUUUUGACGCUCUAUCAGUUUCCAGUAUUUUGUCAUUUUGUAUUGUAGUGCUUAAUCCACAAUGAAUAUAAAACAAUUUAAUCAACAUUAUUAGAAAAAGAAAAAAAGUAGGAGAAGAAAGUUAAGUAUGAUGGAUGGAGGGUCAGAUUACUGUUAAAUGACUUAAAGGUUUAAAGCACCACAGGAAUCAACGUUUCACAACGCUUUUUUCCCUUUCUGAAAUAUUCGGUGCAUUAGUUGACUAGAAUUAUAAUAUAUCAAACAACUACAAGAAAUAUUUUAAUUUAUCAUUUUACUAUUAUAUAUUUACAUAACUUAUCAUUUUACUAUAUUUCCGUAGUACCAUUAGUUGACUAGAAAAAUGUUAAUUUUACUUUUGAAAAAAAACACAAAUGGAUAUAUUAAAUAUUUUUAGCUACUUUUUAUUUUGAAUUUAUAAUGUUGUAAUACUUUGUGUUAUUAUUACUUUUUAUUUUGCAAAAACAAAUUAUAUAAAGAGAAAAAUUAAUAUUUUAUCAAUUAACUAAUUGAUCUAUAUUAAUUGAAAUAUAAUAAAUUAAUAUUUUAUCAAUUAACUAAUUGAUCUAUAUUAAUUGAAAUAUAAUAAAAUAAUAUUUUAUUUUUAAAUAUAAUAAAAUAAUUUUCCCAUGAAAGAAAAUGAUGAGUUGUUUCAACGUAAUGCAGCUGCCUAGACUACAUGGAAUUUCACCAGGCAAUGACAAUUUAUUCUCAGAUAAAUCUAACGCCACAACAUUUAUCUAGUCACCCAAAUUUGCAGGCGUUCGUUUUGAGACUUGUCAAAACUUUUUCCAAAAAUUCGGGAUUCAGGUCAUAUCAGGCCGGUUAUGUUUUGAAAAACUUGUAAAUUAUCAGUGAUCAAACUUCAAAACUUUGCAAAUAGGUCAAAAUACGGAAAAAAACUUGAUAUAUUAUUGAAUACUCAUUUUGUUUUGCAUUAAUAUAACGCUAUGGGUGAUAUCUAGUUCUGUUGGUAAAAUUUCUUGGGUUGAAAACAAGAAAACUAGCAUUUCAAACUCACUCAUAUGGAUGGGAAAGAAAUUUAGUUAUUAUUGGAUUAAAAAAUAAUAAUGAGAAUUAGAAAAAAAUUAUAAGGCUUCAACGAGAUUUGCUAAUCAUGUAUAGAUUAAUAUGGAGAUUAAGAACAUCACCUAAGCUAAUUAUUGAACUUGAAAGUUUAGGAGAAAAAAUUAUAUGGGUUUGGCCAUCAAUUUAGCAUUCGGAACUUAUUGUUUAGGAAGCUACGGCGGGUUUCGUAGUGGGACUUAUCCUCUUUAAUGCAUAUGGUGAUUUUAAACCAACAUAUAUAUAAUCCUAUUAUAAAACUCAUCAAACCUUCUAAAAUAACAUGUUGAGAUAGUGUGCUAGAUCCAUAUAAAUAUUUCUCCAACUUCUUAGCUUGAAGCGAUAUUCAUUUCCAUUGAUAGUUUAAUGGGCAAAGCCUUUUGAAUUCUCCAUGUUAUCAAGUUAACUUUUGCUGGAAAAUGCAAUGCGGAUAUGAAUAGAAUUUUUUGUGCAAACAAUUUUUCUAUGUUGACACAUCCUCUGGAACUUUCAGUAAAUUUUAUGGAGAAGCUUCAAUUUCUUGGUUGUUGAUUUCGAAUACAUUAAGCUCUUAUUUGGUAUUAAAGUAUUGUGGGCUAAAAGCUAUAGUUUUUAUGGAAAGAAAUUUGUAAUUGCGAAAUAAAAGUUGAUUCAGUGUGAUAAAUAUAAUUUCAGAAUAAAAAAUAAAGUAAACUUCGAAAUUAUAAUAGUAAGUAUUUAUUAAAUACUUUAGUGUUGCAGUAACUGUUUACUACAAUAUCAAAUAGGGGGCUAGUACAACAAGUUGUUAUAUUAAAAGUCUCCCAAAAAGGAAGAAGUGACUUAAAAAAUUAAAAGAAUGCAGGAGCUGAAGUUGGCAAUUUUGUAAAUUGCAAUGGCGAUUGUGAUAUAGUAAAAUCCUUCAAUGAAUCACAGCACUAGCGAUUUCGUAAUAUACAGUAGCGGCAAUUUUGUAAAAUUGAAGUAGUGAUAGUUUUGCAAAUAAAAGUAAAAACUUUUUCCCAAAAUUUGGCUGAGCAAAAAGCCAGCUUAGCCCACACUCUCCUUCGCCACUGGUUGAUGAGCUCUUCCUUCAAUUUUUGAACUUGAAGUGAUGCCCCAUCAACGUCCAGAAUUUUUAAAGUCUCCCCACUGUACAAGUUAAACAAUAAAGUCAGAAUGAUGACGGAGUUACAAACAAUCAAAUAUGAUCCUAAUGAUUCUUUUUAUACACUCACCCGUGCAUUGAUGUGUUUAAUUGAUAUAUAUUUAAGCAGAAAUUGAAGUUUGAACCUGAUUAAUUAGAUGCGAACACACAUUCAUGAGUAAUUACUUAAAAUUAAUUAACCAAAAGAGUAAAUAUAGGAGGAAAUCGAUCAUAUGCGUGCGGACACCACAAUCGAAUUAUAUAUUUAUAUCACCACAGCACAUAAAUUUUAUUCGAAUGAUAUAUGAUUAAUUAAUCAAUUUUUAAUAACAAUUAAAUUAUAAUGUCAAUUGUGCACAUAAGAUUUUUUUUCUUGAUGAAAUUAUGAAAGUUAGUAAUUAUUUUCCAUUUUUUAAAUAAUAGUUGUUAAUACAAAUCAAAAAAAUAUUGGGACUUGAGAUCAGGGUCUACUUGAGUUAGAAUUUUUUAUUAGAGAAGCUAUUAGCCAGCAAUACAAAAUAAAGAAGCAACACAAGAUAAAGAGUAAUAUAUUAUAGAAAGAUUUUAUUCGUUUCAAGUGUGUAUCAAACAAAGAGAUAUUUAUAGUUACAUAAUUACUACAUGAAAUUAAUGAAAACAUUAUGGAUCAUACUUCCUUGCGAGAUAGUGAAAGUUAUAGAGAAGGCAAAGGUUGCUAGUGGAAGAUAGUAGAGAGAUUAAGAGAUGUAUGUUAUAAACAUCCAGAUUUAUUUUAAUAAAUUCAUAGCAUUUUUUCCCCUCAAAUAAUAGGGUGUAGAGAACAAUUGGAAGGAGUUUACGCAGCCUAUAAAUUAAUACUCUGACGAAUUAAUAUCCUCUAUUAUAUAAUGACUUUUUUUAAGCACACUAAUAGGCUAAAAUGACAGUUCCAAUAAAUAAAUAAAAUAAUAUAUUUUUUUUGAAAACCCUUACAUAAUAUUGUGGUCCUACUCAUAUCAUAAAUUAAUAAUUUUUAAAUUAUAUAUAAUUAUUACACAUAAAUUAUAUAUUUUUUAAUAAAUUCAUAAUAUUUUUUCUCAAAUAAUAGGGUGUAGAGAACAAUUAGAAGGAGUUUACAAGACUCGCCUAUAAAUUAAUACUCUGGCGAAUUAAAAUCCUCUAUUAUAUAAUAAUUUUUUUUAAGGUUGCUAGUAGGCUAAAAUGAUAGUUCCAAUAAAUAAAUAAGAUUAUAUUUUUUUUUAAUGAAAACCCUUACAUUACAUUAUGGUCCUACUCAUAUAAUAAAUUAAUAAUUUUUAAAAUUACAUAUAUAAUAUUUUAUUUUAAAAAUAUGAUUUUAUUUUUUAUUAUUUUUUCUUGAAAUUUAAAUAUAGUUAGAUUUCAUCUCUAAUUUUUCUUAUUACUUUUGAGGUUAAAUUUUGAAAUUGCAAAAAUUUUGAAUUUUUUUGGUUAAUUAAAUCUGCAGUGAGUGUAUAAGAUGAUUAGAUUAGUAAAAUAUAAUAAAUUUUUAGUUGAUUAAAUAUAUGUUCAUUUAAUAUGUCUUGUGUAUACAGAGUUUACUAAGGACAAGCCGAAUAGUAAGUGAGCAUUUACACUAAUCAAUCGUGUUGAGUUGUGUCUCAUAUUGGCUAGUAAAGGGGAGAUACUUGGGUUUAUAAGAAGGUAUGUCACUCCACCUAAAAGACUAGUAUUUUGGGUUGGAUACCUAGAAAUCUUAUGUUAAGUCCCCUCAACAAAUCGGUAUUGUGCAAUGAAAAUAAGUAAUCUAAAAAUUGCCUAGGAUUUUGCCUUAUAUGUCUCAAAAUAAGCUAAUUAUGCCCAAUUAUGGCACUUGAUGGUUCAACUUUGACAUCAAAGUUGGAAACGUUUUUCUCUAGGGUGAGGCUAUUUGCACUUGAAUAUCUACUUUGAACACUCAUUUACUCAGCGCACUCAAUUAAUAAUUUCAAACUAUUAAAUUUUACUUGGAACACUCUUUUGAAUUCCUAUAUUAUCCACAUUUCUUUAAUUACUUUAUUUCUUCUUUGUACCCAAUAAAAUAUUCAUCAUCACAAACAAAAUAUCUAACUUUUUUUUUCCAUUUUUAUUCACUUUUAUUUUCUGUUCAUAAUCUGUUUUGAUAUGUAUUUGUUCUUCUCUUAUUGCUACAAUUUAAUUCUGUUUGUCAACCCAUAAAAGCAUGCGAAUUGAGUGAAAAUCAAAGUGCAAAUUUAAAACAAAAUCCUUUGAUUUACUUGCGUUUUCUUAUGUUGGAGUGGUGCAAUUUGUUGUUUGUCCUCCACCUCUAUUUUUAAUUCCUUUUGUUUCAGUUAUAAAGAUGAUCAUGAACAUGUUACUUGAUGUUUUCCUAGCAAUUCUAUUAACCAAAAAAAUGAAAAAAAAAAGUUUAGUCCAUAAGUAUAGACAAUGUUUUCAUUUGAAUAUUGAUUCAAUUCUUCGUUGUUAAUGUGGUUUAUUGUAGAUAAAAUAUAAUGUUAGAUAAAAAUUUGUUAUACUGUAUUUUAUAAUUGUCCUUAAUAGAAAAUUACAUUAAGGUUAAUUUAGUAAUAUAAAAAUUAUUAAAUGUGAGUGUCCAAAGUAAAUUUUAGAGUGCAUAUAGUCUCACCCUUUUCUUUGUGUUAUUAUAAUUAAUUUAGAAAGAGUUAGAAAGCUAAGAGUAUCCUUAGUAAAGCUCAAAUAUGUAAUACAUAUCACUAGUGAGUGAGUUUCAUAAACUUUCCUAAUUAAGUAGAUGAAUUUUGGGUUGUAAAUCCUAACACAAUAUCUAUUCAGUUGUUGAGCCUAAAAUAUCACAACUAAAUCGAUAUUGUCCGAUGUAGUCAUGCAACCCUACAUCUUCUUAGUUAGGACAAUUCAUGAAACCACUUAUUUGGGAUGUAGGAGAUGAUACAAAAUUUGUAUGUGCACGUUGGCUUAAUAUCCCAAUUACACACUCGUUUGUCUUCAUGUGCUCCGAAAAGAUCUAUUGUAAUGGAUAUAUUGUAUCUUUAUCAAAGUGCUUGUUAUAAUGAUUCUAUUGUGGUGUUAUUCGAGUUGUCACUUUUAGUUUUUGAUUAUCUUUUUUAAACAUAGUUAAUUUGAAAUGUUCUUUAAUAUCCAACACACUUGAGAUCAUCAAAUAAGUGAUUCCCGAACAUAAUUGCCUCUGAUCAUUUUGUUUGUGCCAAUAAAGGGUUGAUACAAACCAAAGACUUCUUGUCUUUAUUGUCAUUUGAGAGUAAUCAAUUACUUACGCAGUCACAUAAGUUACUGGUUGGCCUCGCACAUUUGAGAGUAACCAAAUGGAAAUGAGAGCAACGUGAUUUUCCAAAGAGAACUUCACACUAUCAUAAAACUGAAAACAUUACAAUUUAAAGCUUAAAUAACAACACACCAAAGCCAAAUAACGACCCACUAGAAUCAUGGUCCAAAGAUUGUUCCAUGAUCACAACAUGAACUACAAAAAAAAAAAAAAAAAAAAAACCAACACCAAAAAAGUAGGAACAAUUUGAAACUUUCGACUAAGCAACAUUUAUGAUCACAUCAGCAGUCCUAAACACAUCUUCUAACAAUUGCAACUGUUCAUUUUUGCUUCUGCCAAUAAACAGUUGAUAGUAACCAAAGAUUGUUGUCUUUAUUGUCAUUUAAGAGUAACCAAUUACUUACGCAGUCACGUUAGUUGCUGGUUGGCCUCGCACAUUUUUGACAAGUUUGUUUCUGAAGGAAAGCAGCUGAGCCGCAACCUCUUCCAUGCUCAUUCGUUCUCUCGGCAACUCUGAAGAGCAAGUGACUCCGAUUCCCAGUACUGAAACCAAGCACUCUUCAACACUAAAAUUUCUGGUCCAUUGUUUGUGAGCACUGGUCUCGCUUGUCUCCCCUUCUUCUCUUUCUACAAGAAGCACUGGAUCAACAAUUUCAGCGAGCCUUUCAGGAAGAGCUUCCUUGACAAAAUUAUGCAGGGUUAGAUUGCCUGUAAACAUCUCAUUCGUCGGCCUCUUUCCUGUAAACGUUUCCAGCAAGAGUAUGCCAAAACUGUACACAUCUCCACUUUUUGAGACCUCACUCCCCAUUCCGUACUCUGCAAUUUGAAAAUUAAAACUGUUGGUUCAACUAGUAAAAUCUCUAAGGAAUGCAAAAGAAGUUAAUUAAAUUAUAGUAUUUGCCUGGAGCAGCAUAACCAACGGUUCCUUUAACUCCAGUAGAGCUUGAUUGAUUAGAUGACAAGUUAUUGGUGGCGUCCGGAAGGAAUUUCGCUAAUCCAAAAUCACUUACAUGGGCAGUCAAUUCACCAUCCAGAAGAACAUUGCUCGGCUUGAGAUCACAAUGGACUAUUGGAUUUUCGCAGUAGUGAUGAAGAUAAUCCAAUGCGGAAGCCACAUCAACGGCAAUAUUCAGUCUUUGGAGGAGAUUUAAAUUCCUUGGUGCCUCAGGGUUUGGAUGCAACCAUUCCUCCAGGCUCCCGUUCACCAUGAACUCAUAAACUAAGGCCUCGAAAUCAUUUCCUUGAAAGUCAACACUUGCACACGAAGUUAUUAUUUUGACGAGAUUCCGAUGCCUAAUACUUCUAAAGGCUUGACACUCCGCUAUGAAACUCUUUGAAGCUCCUCGAUGUUGAAGAUUAAGCACCUUAACUGCCACCAGCGUUUCAUGAUCAUCAUCAUUGAGGAUUCCUUGAUAGACCGAACCAAAGCUACCGGCACCAAUCAAGUUUUCCAAAGAGAACCCAUCAGUUGCUUUGAACAGAUUCUGAUAGGACACUCGUAAAACCGAAGCCAAUACUGCUGAUGGAGGAGGGGCCGGCUCCCUUUUUGAUUUGCUCCGCCGGGAAGUAAUUAUCAAACACGACAUCCCUGUCACUAACAAAAUUACUGCAACUACAGGAAUAAUCAGUUUCAGGGAACGGGCACGUGAUUGCUUUGAUUCUUUGAUGGAACAAGUAGAUAAAUGCAACUCAGAUAUGCCACCACAGAGGUUAUCAUUUCCAUCAAGAGAUAUAGCACUUGAAUUGCUGAAGACUCCUUUUAUUGGUACUUCACCCUCAAAAUGAUUAGAAGACAGAUUUAAAUUCUGCAAAAAGAAAAAGUUUUCAAAAUAUUUUGGAAUCCGGCCAGACAAAUUGUUCCGCGAAAGAUCAAGGUUCUGAAUGCCUCUCAAAGAACUGAAUGAUGAAGGGAUAUUCCCUUGAAAGAAAUUACCAUUCAUGACGAGUUGUUCCAACCUAACGCAACUUCCUAGACUGUUUGGAAUUUCACCAGACAAUUUGUUCUCAGAUACAUCUAGAACACCCAGAUUUUUCAAGAUGCCAAAAUUUGAGGGCAAAGGACCGUUCAAUUGGUUUUGAGAUAGAUCAAGAUAGAUUGAUAAGGAAGAGAGACCAAUCACUUCAGUGGGUAUGGUACCAGUGAGGUUGUUAUUAGAGAGAUCUAAUAAUAUCAAGUUUUUGCAUUUCCCUAGACUUGAUGGAAUGCUUCCCUCUAACAUGUUUCCGUCAAAACUUAGUGUGAAUAACAAUGUCAAAUUUCCUACAGAAGAUGGAAUUUCCCCCAAAAACUUGUUCCCCUUCAGUCUCAACCUCUGCAGCUUUUGAAGAUCUCCUAUACUUCCCAGAAUUCGGCCUGUGAAUUGGUUGUCCCCAAGAUCUAAAAGCUCCAAGUUAACAAGAUUUCCUAAUCCACUUGGGAUAUUUCCGAACAAUUGAUUGUUUCCAACGGUAAAUCUUUUAAGUCGGGUUGACAAGUUCCCCACAGAUUCAGGUAACAUUCCUCCAAAAUUGUUAAUACUAAUUUCCAUCAUCUCUAGUCUAGAAGCGUUGACCAAAGAACUGACAAAUUCCAAGUCAUCUUUUUCCCCAUUUCCUAAGUGAUUCAGAGAAAAGCUAACCCGUUGGAGUUUAUAUAAAUUUUCCAAACUCGGCACCUUUCCACUGAAUCCAUUUUUCUGGAUUGUAAGUCUCAUUAGAUUUGAGGCAUUGGAUAUUGAAGCAGGAAUAGGCCCAGUAAACUGAUUAUUACCAAAGUUUAGUACUUCAAGAUUAGGAAGAGUGAAGCCUAAGUCUGAUGGAAGGCUUCCUUGAAGUUCAUUAACAGGAAAAUCCAAAAGACUAAGCGAAGACAAGUUGUAGAUUGAGAAAGGGAUUUCACCUGAUAGCUUAUUUGCUCCGAAUCCUAUUGAACGCAUCCUCUUAAGCUCGCUCAAGGUUUCAGGAAUUUGUCCCACAAACUGAUUUACAGCUGCUGAAAGGAACUCGAGUGAUGACAAAUUGCCAAAGGAAGAUGGGAUUUCUCCUGACAAAUUGUUGAAGUGUACUGCUAGAGUCCGGAGCUUUGAUAAGGAGCCUAGUUUCCCUGGAACUUUCCCCACAAGCUCAUUGAAGCCUAACCAGAGGGAUUCAAGAUUAACGCAAUGUGAUAGGUUGUCAGGAAUUUGACCUCUGAAUGUAUUUUUCUCCAGGCUUAAUUUUUGUAACCUGAACAGAUAUCCAAUCUCUUGAGGGAUUUCGUUGCGGAAGCUAUUGUUUUUGAGAUCUAACACUCUGAGAAAACUUAAAUUACCAAUGUGAGGCGACAGAGACCCCUGUAAGAGUAAAGAUGGAAGAAGUAAUGCAGUCACCCUUUGGUGCCGUCGACUGCAAGUGACACCUUUCCAUUGACAAAAGUGCCUGGAAUAGUUCCAUGAACUCAAAACCUCAAGAGGGUCAUGAGUAACUUUGGCCUUGAAUUCAAGCAAUGCAAGUUGAUCAGUUUCAUUGCUUUUGAGCAUAUAAUCGGUUGACUGCAAGCUGAAGCUGAAGCAACAGAAAAUAAAGAAACAAAUGCUUACAAUGAUUGAACUCAUCAUGUUUACAAAAUCCAUUUAACUGCCGAAGGAAAUUAAAAUGAUAAAACUUUUGUGGAGGUUGGUAAGAUAAACUAUGUUUGUAUAUUUUUUGCAAUGAUUUAUGGACUCUGUACUUGAUGCUCAAAUGUGAACCGGCUGGCACCGUGACAGUGAAACUAAUACUUUUUGUUUUUCUAAUAAUAUUAAUUAUCAUAUUUAUUACUAUUGUAAGAAUAAUAUAUUGCAGCUUUAAAGAAAGACUCACCAUACUCCUUUUCGAGUCCUGUCAGUUUCCAGCAUUUGGUCAUUUUUUUAUUUCACCGCUUAAUCCACAGUAAAUAUAAAACAAUUUAAUCAACAAUAUUGAAAAAGAAAAAAAGUAGGACAAGAGAAAGGUAAAUACUGUUAAAUGAGUUGGGAAACGUUCAAAGCACGACGGGAAUUAAAAUUAUAAACUUUUAUAAAGGUUGGUAAGAAAAAACAUAUUUGUAUAUAUUUUUUUCAAUGAUUUAUGGACGCUAUACUUGAUGCUGAAAUGUGAACCGGCUGGCACCGGGACAGUGAAACUAAUGCUUUUUAUUUUUCUAAUAAUAUUAAUUAUCAUAUUUAUUACUAUUGUAAGAAUAAUAUAAUACAGCUUUUCCUUUAAGGAAGACCCGCCACACUAACUUUUGACGCUCUAUAAGUUUCCAGUAUUUUGUCAUUUUGUAUUGUAGUGCUUAAUCCACAAUGAAUAUAAAAGUUUAAAGCACCACAGGAUGAUGGAUGGAGUUUCACAUUACUGUUAAAUGACUUUGAAAGGUUUAAAGCACCACAGGAACCAACGUUUCACAAUGCCUUUUUCCCUUGUGAAAUAUUCAGUGCAGUCUCUCCCAGAUUUUGCUAGUGCAACAACGAGACGUCAUGCCGUUAACAAUUUUAAACUGUAAAUGACAUGUUGUUUUUACAAGACAUAUUAUGCGUCGAUACAUACCUUUUCUGGUUGUUGGUUUAUAAAAAUAUAUGAAACGGCAUGAGUGUGACAACUCUUGUAAAAUUUUUAAAAACAACAUAAUCAAUGGUAUUCUUAUCUCCCAGCUGCCGUUUGCCGUUUGGAAUUGUUCUGUAUAAGAUCUUGAUCAUCGAAUUUACCACUAGGGCGUAUGCUUUAUUUUCUCGAAUUACAUUGCUGCCUCAUCUUUUGUGUUUUCGGUUCUGUUGUGGAUCUCCUCUGUUUUUUUCUGAUUUUGGGCCCGAAGGGCACGUUAAUUGAAAUCAACAAAUCUGGUAAAAAUGACGUUAAAUUCGAUCAGAUUUACAUAUUUAAUUACAAAUGCAGUAACCCCGAUCAGAUGCAUACACUAAUUUUAUUUAUUUUGUCAGCUUUAACCUCACUGUCAUUUUGAAUAGCCUACAAGAGUCGAAUGACUAGAUUUCCAAUUUGCUAUCAUCCCCCUUGAAUGGGUUCAAGAAAUUCAGCAGGUUGCGAAACAAUAAGAUUCAUUCAAUCCGUGUAGAUAUCUAACUGACUGAAAUUAAAUAAAUGAUGAUGAUAAGAAAUUUGAAAUCAACAAAUCUCGGCACAUCUAUUCUGCAAUUUAGCCGUACUUCAAAUAAUCUUGCGAUAAAAAUUUCUUAAAAAUCUCAGAAAGAGGACAGAACAACCAAGGCAUCAGCGAAAGCAAUCGAUGUUAGGAAAUUGGUGGGUGCAGCAGUACCGCAACUAAAAUAAAAUUGGAAAUAAAAUAAAGAACAAGCACAAUAGAGGACACCAAAAAUUACGUGGUUCGGCUUUUAGCCUACAUCUACGGGCGAAGACAGAAGGAAAUAUUUUACUAGUGAAAUAAGGAUUACAAGUAUUGUAAGAUUUUAGCUCACUACCCAAAACCCCAAUACACCCAAUCUCUCACUCACUACACAUGCAAGAGUUUAUUAAACUCUUGAAAACUCUCAACACUCAAAGAAAGAAAAAUUUCUCUCAAUGGAAUUGAAUACAAAAUGAAAUGAGGAGCUCUGCCUUUUAUAGCCAAAAAAUGGCUAUUAAAUUAUUAUUUUUACCACCGUCUUCAUUCUGCUAUUUUCUUCUUUCUUCUUUUUUCUUCAUUCCAAAUUUGCUGCUGCCAAAUUCUUCAACAUUUUCUUUGGCCGGCUGUCAAAGCCAACUUUGCUUAUUCAAGGGUUCUAGAUGCAGUAGCUUCUAGAUGCAGCCAAAUUUGACAUUCUCCCACUUGGAGAUUAGAUUGAGAAUCAAUCAAUCUCCACAUCAUCCUUUCUGUUUCGCCAUAAUCAUGUUGCCUACGUUGCUGCUAGGCCACAAGAGGAUCUACUCCAGAUAAACUUGUCAGCAUUUAUUGGCUUGGUCAAAACAUCUGCUAGGUUCUCCUUCGUAUGGAUUUUCUGCAAAUCCACACUUCCAUCUUCCACUACUUCUCGAACGAAGUGAUACUGAACUCCUAUGUGCUUUGUCCUGGAAUGAAAGGCUAGAUUCCUUGCAAUGUGCAAGGCACUCUGACUGUCACAAAACACAAGAAUUUUCUGUUGUUUGUGCCCGAGCUCCUCCAAUAAUCUUUGUAUCCAAAUAGCUUCCUUGCAAGCUUGUGUAGCUGCCAUGUAUUCUGCUUCUGUUGUAGAUAAUGCCACAACGGUCUGCAGUUUCAAAACCCAGCUUACAGCUGCUCCCGCAAGUGCAAACACAUAACCAGUAGUGGAUUUCCUUUUAUCAAGGUCUCCUGCAAAAUCUGAAUACACAUAGCCCCUGACAGUAAACUCUGAUCCUCCAUAACAUAAUGCAACAUCUGAGGUUCCUCUGAUGUAUCUCAGAAUCAUCUUCACAGCUAUCCAAUGCUCUCCGCCAGGAUUCGCCAUGUAUCGACUGACUGCUCCCACUGCUUGUGCAAUGUCCGGUCUUGUACAUAUCAUAGCGAACAUUAAACUUCCCACUGCUGAUGCAUACGGUACUCGAGACAUCUCCUUCCUCUCUGCUUCAUUGCUAGGACACAUACUUGAGGAUAAUUUGAAAUUAACAGGAAAUGGGGUAGAAAUUGACUUACAAUCUUGCAUGUUGAAGCGCCGCAAGAUUUUCUUCAAGUAAUUCUUCUGUGAUAGCCAAAUCUUCCUGUUAUUUUUGUCUCGGUGAAUUUGCAUCCCUAGAAUCUUGUUUGCUGGUCCCAAGUCCUUCAUUUCAAACUCCCUAGCCAACUGUGCCUUCAAUUCUUGGAUUCGAUCUUUGUUGGGACCUGCUACCAACAUGUCAUCUACAUACAACAGCAAAAUGAUGAAAUCAUUAUCUUCAAACCUCUUGUAAUAUGCACAAUGGUCUGAACUGAGUCUGUUGUAUCCAAGGCUCAUGAUGAAGGAAUCAAAUCUCUUAUACCAACACCUCGGCGCCUGUUUGAGACCGUAUAGAGAUUUGUUCAACUUGCAAACCAAGUUCUCCUUUCCUGUUUCUGCAAAACCUUCUGGUUGGAGCAUAUAUAUUUCUUCUUCAAGUUCUCCAUGAAGAAAUGCAGUUUUCACAUCUAACUGCUCUAGAUGUAGGUCAAAUGUAGCACACAUUGCCAAGACUAUUCUGACUGUUGUGAGUCGAACCACGGGCGAAAAUAUCUCGUUGAAGUCAAUGCCUUCUUUCUGAGCAUAUCAUUUCACCACCAAUCUUGCACGAUACCGCUCCACUUGGUCAUUGCCAUCACGCUUGAUCUUGUAGACCCAUUUGUUUCCAAUGGCUUUUCUUCCAUGUGGUAGUGGUACAAGUUCCCAUGUCUUGUUCUUGUGUAGAGCUUCAAUUUCUUCCUGCAUUGCUGUCAUCCACAAAGCAACAUCUGAGCUGUUUAAAGCUUCAUGGAAAGUUGAAGGCUCUCCAUCCUCUGUUAAAAGACAGUAUGCAACGUUGAUCUCUGUGACAUACUCAGAGUGCCACACCGGCGGUCGUCUCUCACGAGUUGACCGACGAACUUCUGGAGCCUCGGACUCGACUGGUUCUUGUUCCUCGUGCUCUGGUGCUGCUUCAGAAGAAUCUGAAUCUUCUGGAUUAUUUUCUACAUAUACCGGCACAAUCUCUGACUUUUCUUUUACAGUGCCAUCAUCUCCAUCUUUCAUUUGCAGUUGAUCUUCUACAAAAAUAACAUCUCUGCUGAUGACGAUCUUGUGGGCAGUGGGGUCCCACAGACGAUACCCCUUUACUCCAUCAGCAUACCCCAAGAAGAUACAUCUUCUAGAUUUUGGAUCCAACUUUGUUCUUUCUUGGGCAUUGUACAUCACGUACACAGGACAUCCAAAUGCAUGUAGGUAGGAAUAAUCAGCUGGCUUUCCAGUCCACAUCUCCAUCGCCGUCUUCAACCCAAUCGCUGUAGAUGGUGAUCGAUUUACUAUAUAACAGGCAGUUUUGGCUGCUUCUGCCCAUAAUGAAUUGGGUAAACCAGCAGUCCUCAACAUAGCUCUUAUUCUUUCUGUAAGAGUUCUGUUCAUCCGCUCUGCCACUCCAUUUUGUUGAGGAGUGUACGCCACCGCGAACUGCCUCUGAAUACCUUCUUGCUUACAGAAAGCAAGAAACUCGCCCUCUGUAUAUUCUCCACCAUUAUCCGUCCUCAAGCACUUGAUCUUUUUACCAGAUUCAAGUUCCACACGCGCUUUGUAUUCUUUAAACACAGGAAAUACAUCUGACUUUUUCUUAAUUGGAUACACCCAACAUCUUCUAGAAUAAUCAUCAAUGAAAGUCACUAUGUACUUUGCACCUCCCAUGGAUAUAUCCGGUGAUUCCCAAACAUCAGAAUGAAUCAAGUCUAGAAUGCAUUUACUUCUAGCAAUAGAUCUACUGAAUUUUAAUCUAUGCUGCUUACUUAUAACACAAUGCUCGCAAAAUGGUCUGAAUUUUAAUCUAUGCUGCUUACUUAUAACACAAUGCUCGCAAAAUGGUAAACUUACCGAUUUGAGCCCCGGAAGCAAUUUUCGCUCAGAGAGAAUCUUCAAGCCUUGUUCUGACAUGUGACCAAGUUUGAGAUGCCACAUCAUCGUUGAUUCUUCUCCAUUUGACGCGACACACGUAUUAGCCUCCUGUAGUGUUUCUCCUCUAAGCAUGAAUAGAUUAGCACCGAUCUUUUCUGCUUUCAUCAAUACAAGCGCGCCUUUAACGAUCUUCAUAAUUCCAUUCUCCACAUGAGUUUUGUACCCAUGACUAUCCAUGUGUCCCAAAGACAAUAGAUUUUUCUUCAAGCCAUUGACAUGUCGUACCUCUCCAAUUGUGCGAAUUGUACCAUCAAACAUUUUUAUUUUGAUAGUACCAAUACCAGCGAUCUCCAAGGCAUGAUCAUCUCCCAUAUAUACAGAUCCUCCUGAGAUAGGUUCAUAUGUGUGGAACCAUUCUCUCCGAGAGGUCAUGUGCCAGGUAGCUCCUGAGUCUAUAAGCCAGACAUCAGACAAUCGUUUUCUGCCUUCUGAAACAGUUGUUGCCUCGCUGUAAAGAAUUUCGCCAUCAUCUGAGGUACUUGCUACACAACCCUGAGCAUUUGAUGACUCAGGUUCUUUUCCCUCUUUUCUCUUCUGGUUACUCCAACAUUCUUUCUUGAUGUGCCCUUUCUUGCCACAUUUGUAGCAUUUAACAUUAUUCUUACUCAUGGAUUUUGAUCUACCCUGAUUUUGACUCCCACUGGGGCCACGUUCCGUUGAUCUCCCUCUCGUCACCGAUAGCGCCUCCGCUUGCUGCGAACUUGCUUGUCUGUUUUCCUUAUUUUUCCACCUGCUCUCCUCAUUUAAUACGGAGGCUGCAACAUCGUCGAAAACUAGACUCUCCACUGGAUUGUUGUUCGUCAGGUUGAUGAUGAGUUGAUCAUACGAAUCUGGUAGACUUUGAAGUAGAAGCUCUGCACGUUCAUUUUCCUCUAUAUUAUGACCCAACAUUGUGAGUUGUGAAAAUAGAGUCUUCAAUGUGUUGAUGUGGUCGGUCACCAUUGUAGAUUCCGUCAUUCGAAGAGUAUAGAGUUUUCUCUUCAAGAAGAUUUUGUUGUGUAGUGACUUGGCCUCAUACAAUUUUGUGAGAGUAUCCCAUAUUUCCUUCGCCGUAUUUUUCUCUGCCACACUGGAUAAUACUCCAUCCGCAAGUGCCAAGUGUAGAUCAGAAAUGGCGUUGCCGUCUACCUCGUUCCACUUGUCAUCAGUUAUCUCCAUGGGCCUUUCUCCAAUUGCUGCCAAACAAUUAUUUUUCCUCAAUACAGCUUUCAUCUUCAUUUUCCACAAUGAAAAAUUAUUUCCGUUAAACUUCUCAAUUUCAUACUUUGCCGCCAUUUUGUUGAUAAAUACUGUACACAAGUUAGUGUACCACCUUGAAUAGUUGUGAGUAUGUGUGAUAAUGCACACCAGGAAAGUUCCCAGGAAAGACUGGAGGGGUCACAAUGGUCCCACUUAAAACCCAGACUCCUUAAGCUCUUAUCGCCUUUGUGACAGAACUUUCCUAGACAUGUACAAAACCACAGUUGUUUUUCUCACACUACUAUUCCCUGCUUUGCACCGGAAAAUUCUUGGAUCGCUUCCACCGUUUCACGUGAAUAGUACCGUAUACGUGAACAAUACCAUAUAUGUGAACAAACCCGUAUACGUGAACAACACAGUAUACGUGAAUAGUGUCGUAUACGUGUACAGUGCCGUAUACGUGAAUAGUACCCCUUACGUGAACAGUUCCCGACUCCAAAAAUACAACCAAUAGCUCUGAUACCACUGUUAGGAAAUUGGUGGGUGCAGCAGGACCGCAACUAAAAUAAAAUUGGAAAUAAAAUAAAGAACAAGCACAAUAGAGGACACCGAAAAUUACGUGGUUCGGCUUUUAGCCUACAUCCAUGGGCGAAGACAGAAGGAAAUAUUUUACUAGUGAAAUAAGGAUUACAAGUAUUGUAAGAUUUUAGCUCACUACCCAAAACCCCAAUACACCCAAUCUCUCACUCACUAGACAUGCAAGAGUUUAUUAAACUCUUGAAAACUCUCAACACUCAAAGAAAGAAAGAUUUCUCUCGAUGGAAUUGAAUACAAAAUGAAAUGAGGAGCUCUGCCUUUUAUAGCCAAAAAAUGGCUAUUAAAUUAUUAUUUUUACCACCGUCUUCAUUCUUCUAUUUUCUUCUUUCUUCUUUUUUCUUCAUUCCAAAUUUGCUGCUGCCAAAUUCUUCAACAUUUUCUUUGGCCGGCUGUCAAAGCCAACUUUGCUUAUUCAAGGGUUCUAGAUGCAGUAGCUUCUAGAUGCAGCCAAAUUUGACAAUCGAGGCAGGGCACGCUCAAGCCACGAAUUAGAGGAAUUUUAAAUAUCAAAACCAGCUCAGAAUAAUAAGAAGUAAAAUGAAACUAAAAAAGGCUCAGAUUUUUGGAUGAGUGAAGGGAAGAUGAGAAGAUGAAAUGCAGAAAGUCAAGAAAUGAAUAAACCAAUAUUAAUAAUCUUGGACCCACAUCUCUAAUUUGGAUUAAGCAUCCAUCUGCCUAUGUGGAUAAUAUUUUUGCUAAUUUUUCAGCCAUGCAGCAGGAUCAUGUUCGUCUUGUUUUAUUUGAUAGAAGGAAUUUUCCCUUGGAAGAAAAUGAUGAGUCGUUUCAACGUAAUGCAGCUACCUAGACUGCAUGGAAUUUCACCAGACAAUGACAAUUUAUUCUCAGAUAUAUCUAAAUCUAACGCCCCCACAUUUGUUUAGUCACCCAAAUUUGAAGGCGUCCGUUUUGAGACUGAUCAAAACUUUUUCCAAAAAUUCGGGAUUCAGGUCGAUCAGGCCGGUUAUGUUUUGAAAACUUGUAAAUUUUCAGUGAUCAAACUUCAAAACUUUGCAAAUAGGUCAAAAUAUGAAAAAUUCUUGAUAUAUUAUUGAAUACUCAUUUUGUUUUGCAUUAAUAUAAGGCUAUGGGUGCUAUCUAGUAAUGUUGGUAAAAUUUCUUGAGUUGAAAACAAUAAAACGAAAAUAGCUCUAAUAGAUCCACCCCUGUUUGAAACUCACUCAUAUGGAUGGGAAAGAAAUUUAGUUACCAUUGGAUUAAAAAAUAAUUAUUAUUAUUAGAAAAAAAAUUGUAAGGCUUCGACAAGAUUUGCUAAUCAUGUAUAGGUUAAAAUUUAUGUGGGUUUGGCCACCAAUUUAGCAUUAGGAACUUAUUGUUUAGGAAGCUAUGGUGGGUGUCGUAGUGGGACUUAUUCUCUUUAAUGCAUAUGGUGAUUUUAAACCAACAUUUAUAUAAUCCCAUUAUAAAACUCAUCAAACCUUCUAAAAUAACAUGUUGAGAUAGUGUGCUAGAAGUAUUUCUCCAACUUCUUAGCUUGAAGCGAUGUUCAUUUCCAUUGAUAGUUUAAUGGGCAAAGCCUUUUGAAUUCUCCAUGUUAUCAAGUUAAUUUUUGCUGGAAAAUGCAAUCCGGAUAUGAAUAGAAUUUUUUGUGCAAUCGAAUUUUCUAUGUUGACACAUCUUCUGGAACAUUCAAUAAAUUUUAUGGAGAAGUUUUAAUUUCUUAGUUGUUGAUUUCGAAUAUAUUAAGCUCUUAUUCAGUAUUAAAGUAUUGUGGCCUAAAAGAUAUAGUUCGUAUGGAAAGAAAUUUGUAAUUACAAAAUAAAAAUUGAUAAAGUGUGAUAAAUAUAAUUUCAAAAUAAAAAAUAAACUUAACUUCAAAAUUACAAUAGUAAUUAUAAAGUAUUUACUAAAUACAUUAGUGUUGCAGUAACUGCCCUACCACAAUGACAAAUAGGGGGCUAAUACUACAAAUUGUUCCAUUAAAAGUCACCCAAAAAGGAAGAAGUGACUUAAAAAAUUAAAAGAAUGCAGGAGCUGAAGUUGGCUAUUUUGUAAAUUGCAAUGGCAAUUGUGGCCUAGUAAAAUCCCUCAAUGAGUCACAGCACUAGCAAUUUCGUAAUAUACAUUAGUGGCAAUUUUGUAAAAUUGAAGUAAUGAUAGUUUUGCAAAUAAAAGUAAAAACUUUUUCCCUAAAUUCGGCUGAGCUAAAAACCAGCUUAGCCCACAGUCUCCUUCGCCACCGGUUGACGAGCUCUUCCUUCAAUUUUUGAACUUGAAGUGAUGCCCCAUCGAUGUCCAGAAUUUUUAAAGUCUCCCCAUUGUACAAGUUAAACAAUAAAGUCAGAAUGAUGAUCCUAAUGAUUCUUUUUAGAGAGUCACCUGUACGUUGAAGUGUUUAAUUGAUGUUUAUUUAAGCAGAAAUUGAAGUUUGAUCCUGAUUAAUUAGAUGAGAACACACAUUCAUGAGUAAAUACUUAAAAUUAAAUUAAUCAAAAUAGUAUAAAUACAGGAGAAAAUCGAUCAUAUGCGUACAGAAAUCACAAUCGAAUUAUAUAUAUCACCGCCGCACAGAAAUAACAAUUAAAUUGUAAUGUCAAUUGUCCACAUAAGAUUUUUUUUUUUUUUUUUUUUUUUUUUGUUGAUGAAAGUUAGUAAUUUUUUUCCAUCUUUUUAAAUAAUAGUUGUUAAUAAAUAUCAAGAAAAUAUUGGGACUGGAGAUCAGGGUCUACUUAAGUUAGAAGUGAGAGUAGUGCAGAUAUGUGGGGAUUAUAUGCAAGGUGGCUUAAAAGUAAAGGAGAUCUUACAAUGUGCUCUGAAGCCCUCUUAAAGCAAGUCAGAUCAUAUCAGGUUUCUCCAUAAAUCUCAUCAUCUUAUAAUAAGUUAGCAUUAUGUUUUACUUUGAUGUUGAUGGAAUUUGUUAAUGCUAAUCAAAUUUUGUUAAUCUCCCUCUCUUUUUUUUUUAAUUUAAAAGAAGGCAAAUAAAAAGCUUUGUGAUUUCAUUUUUGUUUUCUAAAUUUGUUAUCUAAAGGAAUGACAAGUUGAUAACUCAGCCUCUGUGUGUGUGUGUCUGUGUCAGGGAUCUGAUUUGUGGAAAGAUAGAGAUCGGUUUAAAAGGUUUUCAUAUGCAUCCUUGGAACUUUGUAAGGUUUACAUGGAAAUUUCUUCCUCUUCCGGUAGCCGUCGAGAGCUCUUUGCUGCUGAGAUGCACCUGAAGAACGUACUUAAACAAGUAAAACACCUUAUAAUUCGAUAUUUAAGACACUUACAGUUGGUUUAAAGAUUGUAUUUUCUGUUUCUGUUUUUGACUGGUUCAGGGUAAAACUUUUUCUCACUGUGUUAGAGUGCAUUUCUGUUAUUAUAUAGUUUCUUAGAAGAAAAUGCACUUUUUGGAAUCUCAGGCUAAAGGAUUUUCUGACAUGGAAGAGUUCAGGGAUCUUCAAGCUUGCCUUGAUGAAGUGAAGACAAAACUCCAAUCUGGUCCCGUGGCUACCUAAGUAUCAGGAAUGUGCUAUUUUUGAAAUUUAGUAACAAGGUUAAAUCUGCAACUAAAAAUUAUUUUAGUUUGUACUGUAGUGGAGACCUUAAGCAGGACUGAAUAUCUUGUAUUGUUGUAUCACCUUUUCUGUAACAAAACGGUCUAGUUUUACUAUUUUUAUUAUUUUUGUAUUUUCGGUGCUGUAACUAAUCUCAUUUGACAAUUUAAAUAUAUGGCUUCAAGUUCUUUAAAUGUAACAUCAAGUGUUGUUUCAACCUCUGUUCUUUUAUGUAUUUCUUGCAUGCGGUGAUUUCAUUAACCUCAAUUUAAGGACAAUUUCAUAUCUUUUUUCUUUCUGCUUUUCUUUUAUCAUUUAAAAACAACACACACACACACACACACAUUUAUAUUUCAGAAGAGGAAAUUGCACGGGAUAUGACUCAAUACUUGCUAAAUGCCAAGACUAUGACCCAAUUAUUUACAUGCCGAGACUAUGACCGAAUAACAAGUGAAAGUACACAAAUAUCCUUAUAAGUAACUAAGUUAAAAAUAUAAAACUUGAGUUAGGAAGUUUAGGAAUGCAUUGAACUUGUAUUCAUUACUUUGAUUAAUCCAUUUACCGUUAUACAAGACAAUAACACGUACCAUAUCCAUUUACAUAAAAAUUAUGAGUUGACAAAGUAAGAAUAUUAACAAAAAUAAGUUGUUAAAAGUUCUUGUAGACUUCUGUGCUUCAGUUCUAGACUUCUAGAUUUAUAGACUUACCUACAUGUCUAUAAGUCUAGAUGUAAAGAAGUCACGAAAACGAUAACAAUGAUAAACAAACUCAAUUCAACAACAAAUUUGAUGUGUAAAAAUUGUGUUGAAGAAUUUUUUGGAAUCUGUUUGAAUUUGUUAAGGGAAUGUGAUGAUUUUAGUAAGUGUUUGAUAACAACUUAGAAUGUUGGACGCAUUAUAGUGCUGGGUGCAUGCUUUUGUUGGAAAAGAUAAGGGCAUUUUAGACUAGGGAUCACCAAAAUGUCAUACAAAUUUAAUUGAGUAAAAUUUGUCAUAUUUAUAUAAAAUGUACAUGAUUUUGUCAUAUAUAAAUAAAAAACCCAUUUCAGAAAGCAUUUAAACAAAGCGAGAGUACAAUAAAAAACCCAUUUUAGAAAGCAUUUAAACAAAGCCAGAGUACAAUAUAGAAAGAUUUUACUCAUUCUAAGUGUGUACCAAACAAAGAAAUGAACUCUCCUUUUCUAGUUAUAUAAUUAUUACAUGAAAUUAAUAAAAACAUGACGAAUUAUAAUUCCUUGCGAUAUAGUGGGGGUUAUAGAAAAGUCAAGAGUUGCUAGUGGAAGAUAAUAGGGAGAGUACAAUAUAUAUAUUAUGAACAUUCACAUUUAUUUUAAUAAAUUCAUAGCAUUUUUUUUGCUUAAAUAACAGGGUGUAUGUAUAUAUAUAUUGACAUAAAAAUUGCAUGACGUGUGGUUUAGCGUUUCUUGGUUGUUCAGUGCUAGUUUUAUGUCAAUUUUUAUUGACAUAAAAAUUGCAUGACACAAAAAAGGCUGUUUUAACCAACUAAAAACCAAAAGCUAAAACCCAAAACCCCCCUCUUUUUCGUUUUCCAGGGACUUCACCUUGAUAUUCAACCAACACUUCUGAUGUCUGCCCUUCAAUAAACCAAGUCAUUCAUACACAUGAUUCUACUAUUGGUGAUGCCUCUGAUGUUUUUGUGACCCCAAAAUUAUUGGGGAAUAGUCAUGAAUCUGAAUCUGGAGUCCAAUGCAUUCACGCUGGUGGCUCAGCAGCCCAUUUAAAGGCAAUCCAACAGGCAGUGAUCUUGUCGAGGUGCCUUCUAAUAGAAAAGAGCUCAUGGCAAGAUGAAAUGCAAAGUAAGUUGUUUUAUGGUUGGCCGGUGUGUAGUCAUCUCGUUAAAGGCCAUAAGAUGUUUAGCAUAUUGCUAUUUAAUUUUUAAAUCAUUCUCAGUAAUAAUUCCUUUAGUAGAUUGAUGAUAAGAGAUUGCAUUACAGAUGAUAACGGAGCACAAUUUUUGUAGUUGUAUCCCUGUACAUCCAUCUUAAUAUCCUCAUUAUAUUCACAUGCCUUUUACGGGUGUUAUUUCUGGAUGCCGAAUGCUUUGCUCCACGUCUGGAUACCAAAUGCUUUGUUCCACAAAGCUGAGCUGGUUGAAAAGCUAGCUGAUGAGGUCAACACGUCCCUUAAGUAAUUUGAGGAUGAACACUGUGUUCCCGAAAGUCUUACUCUAAUGAUACUUAAAGAAGCAAUGAGAAUGGAUGUUGCAGCAGCUUUGCUGAACUCAACUCCAGUUCCAAAAAUGGAACAUGUGAAAACCGAAAAUGCAUUGUUUUUUUUUUUUUCCUCUUUAUGACUUCUCUAGUUGGGGAAUGUAUUAGAUAUUCACCUAAUCAGUAGGCCUUGAAGGGAUCCCAUGUUAGCCCCUUGAUGUUGGUCUGUAACUAAGUAAAUACUUGACCUUGAAAAAGCUUUUGGAGGCAUCAGUUUCUCUCUGACUGGUGCUACUUUUUGGAUCUGUUGAUUUGGUCAUUUGCUGAUUUAUAGUUUGUUUUCUGAUUCAGGAUGGGAUAUGGCUCCAUACAUAGAGGCAACUGAUUCACAGCAGUCGUCAUGCUUCAUUGUAAAUAUAUAUACAAUACAGCAUCAGUUUUUCUUGAUUUUAAAUCUCAUAUUCUGAAGUGGUACUUCUGAUUCUCACAUGAUUUUUCCAUCUUUCAGCUAAAGUUUUUCUGUGAUCUCUUACGUAUUAGAUGGGAAUCCACCCGCAGUCGCACAAAAGGGCGUGCUUUAGAGAUGAUGGACAAACUGGUAUGAUCUGUGAGCCUUUUCUUCUUAAAUAUUUUGUUACCUAAACCAUUUUCAUUCAAAUUGACAAGUGUUGCUUAUCAAUCUAUAGAAGAUUCCAAACUUUCUGCAGCUAGUACUUUAUUGGACCCAAAAGCUUUUUUGCUUUUUCUAAGCUGCUAAUCAGGACUAGGUUUCUCUCCCUUAUAUCGCUAGAUAUCCCAUUAAUCGUUUGAUUUAGUUGUCUAGAGAGAUUAGGUACUUGCAUCUUCGCUUUUCACUUCACAAGUGAUUUCAUGUGCUAUCCUGUAUUCUGGUUCAAGAUUUUUGAAGGUUGCUUACCAUCAUAUUUUGCUUUGUUUCAGGUUGAGGGCAUUUCUAAUUCUUCUCCCGGUGUGACUCAAAGGAUUCCCUUUUGUUAUGUGAUUUAAGUUCCAACUAUUCCUACCCUGCGAAAGUAAUACUAUUUCUUUUGCUUCUUUGAAUGAUUGUGAUUUAAUUUUCUUGUCAUUUUGCCAACUAUCAUUAUGCUGUCAUUGUUUCAUAUCUUAUUUGACAUAUGUUGAUUUGGUUAGAGUUUAAUUGCUCUGUUUAUUCUCUUUAUAAUCUGUCUAUUUCGAUUUUUCUUGAUUUUAGGGAAUAUGCUGAACUUUUAGUAAGCUGUGGCUUGAUUGGAGAGGCUAUUAAAAUUUUUGAGGAUCUGGAGUUGUGGGAUAAUCUAAUAUACUGCAACUGGUAUGAUGUCAUAGAUAACCAUUAUCCUAAUCUCUCUGUCUGUCUGUCUGUCUCUAUCUCUCUCUUUCGUGUUGCUAAUGGGAGUUGGUUUUUUGUAUGAUGUAAAAAACAGCCUAUUGGGGAAGAAAGCAGCAGCUGUUGAACUAAUAAAAGCAAGGCUGUCUGAAAAGCCUAGUGACCCUAGAUUAUGGUUGGUUAAUGAGCCUUUUCUAUGAUCCAUUUUAUAGUUACUUCUCAUUUCAGUUAAAUCCAUUGUUGAUGUCACUUAUUGCAAUCUAGGGAUAAUUGUUCAUUGGUUGUAAGGAUAUUGUCAGAAGAAAAUGAAACCUUUUAAUUUUGUCUUUUACUUGCUGUAGCCGAUUUAAAAGCUCACUGUGCGUUCUUACUGAUUGCUUUUGGUCUUGCAUUUGAGUCAAUGGAUUUUAUACUCAUAUUCUGACAUUUAUUGUUAGUCUUCUGACGGUUCUGCACCUUGGUCCUAUAUUAUCUUCAGCAGUAUUAUCUAAAAGAUAAGUUUUUGCCGAAGAAAAUUUGCAUUCUAAACUAGAAAAUGAGGGGCCGGGGGGAGGGGGGGGGGGGGGUAGGUUGGGAGGCAACGGGAGACUGUUUUCCACUUAUCCUCUUCCCUGCCUGCAUUUUAGAUGAUUUUGAUGCACCAGGUGCCGUGAAAUGGUUGAGAAAUACAUACCAUCAAGUGAAUUCUGAAAAUCAUUUCCUUUUUGAAAAUAUUUGGUGCUAGACAUUUGAAUAUAUGGCCACAAUUUAAACAAUAAAGAUUUUCUGCAUUGAUUUCUUAUAAUGGAUAGAUGCAUGUAAGUAAAAUAUGAUAUCUUUUGAUUAUUGGCCCAUUUGUUCAGAAAGAAGGAAAAAAAAAAAAAUACAUGGUUGAAAGACAACUGUUACUUGACCUUAUGAUACAUUUUGUAGGUGUUCAUUAGGUGAUGUUACAAAUAAUGAUGCCUGCUAUGAAAAAGCUUUGGAAGUUUCGAAUGAUAAGUCAGCUCGAGCUACGGUGAUAUUGUAGUUCACAUUAUGCUUGUGCCGUGAUCAUUUUUUAGUUAACAUAUCUUUAUGUGAAUCAGAGGUCUCUAGCUCGUAGUGCAUACAACAGAGGGGAGUACGAGACAUCUAAAAUCCUUUGGUAUGUUGCUUUAAUGCUUUACUUCUCUUUCUGCCACACAGUAAUUUGCUGCAUUGACAACUGAUACGGCUGAAUGACAAUUUACCCUUGGUUUUGUCUCGGGGAGGCUGCCAUGGCCUUGAAUUCUUUGUAUCCGGAUGGCUGGUUUGCUCUUGGUGCUGCUGCAUUGAAGGUAUCAUAUUUUUGUAUUAGUAUGUGUUUAGUGUGAAGCAAUUUCUUAUCCUUUUGCCCCAAGUUUCUGAAACUCUCGGCUGAAAUAUAAAUACAGGCUCGGGAUGUUGAAAAGGCUCUGGAUGGGUUUACUCGGGCUGUUCAACUUGAUCCAGACAAUGGGGAAGCUUGGAACAAUAUUGCUUGCUUGUAUGCUCUUUUCUUUGUCAUCAUGUCAUUCCAUCCUCUUGCUCUGUAUUCUUUAAUAUUGUGUCAAUCACAUUCAUCUUCUAUCUGCAAGAGUAUGCUUCCCAUAUUUGGUUUACUUUGUUUUGACUUUCUUGUUGCAGUUGUUCUAUAUAAAUUUUAUAUGGUUCCAUAUUCCCUUGAUGAGUGAAUUUAGUUGCUGCAAAUGUUAAGAACUAGAUAGUACUGUUAUAAUUAGGAAUAGGGCAAAUAUUAGCCAGCUCUUUUGAGGAUUAUCCAUAGCAUAUACCUCCGUCGUUUUCAAAGCGAUUGAAGUUCUCCCUUUUGUCUUAUUUAAAAGAAAAAAGCACAAAUUGCUUCCCUCACAUCUAUCUACAGUCUCUUUUCUCUCUGUUUAAUUUUUUCUUGUGCUUAUUAUUUGUCUUUUAAUGCAUCUUUUCUUCUUAUUUUAUACUGUACUAGAAUUUGUGCUGUCUCGAUUUUAUCUUGCAUGUGAGUUACUGUGUUUUUCGCAAUUGUAGAACUUUAUUUAGCAGCAUAAUUAUUAGUUAGUGAGACAUUAAUUGGUUAAUACCACUUGUGAAGAUACGAAGAGCUACUUAUUCUCUCUUCUAGUACAUUUAAAAAAUUCAUGACAAAAUAUCUGGGAUGGUAAAAUUCUCGUCAAUUAUAACUACGGAAGUCUUGAGAUUUAUGUAGUCUUGCAGGCAUAUGAUCAAGAAGAAGAGCAAAGAGGCUUUUACAGCAUUCAAGGAGUCCCUAAAGUUGAAGUUCUGUCUUUUUUCCCCCUGAUCACUACAUUUUUAUUUUCUGUCAUGCACAAUGCAGUCGGACACUAUCUGAUCACAAGAAAACUGUCAUACAUAAUUUGUUGCUGCUAGGCAAAAGGUGAUAUCUAAUGUAAUAACCUAUAACAUGAUUUUGUAACAGACGGAACAGUUGGCAAUUGUGGGAAAACUACAGCCAUGUUGCUUUGGAUGUGGACAAUAUUGGUCAGGUAACCGCGGUUGUGCGCUUAAUGUCCAUCAUUUAUCACUGAAAUCUUUUGAGAUGAAGCUGGCAUUUCCUUAGCCACCCUCUGAUGGUUUUGAUUGCUUCAUGUAUGUUGUCAUCUUUGUCAACUAAUGAAAGCUGCAGAGAUUUUGUCAUCUUUUCAUUUAAAAGAAUUUGAUAGUUUAUAGCCCAUUGUCAUGUUUGCAUAUGUAUGUUAUUGUUCUUUUGACCUUUUUGUACCUCAGCUUCAUCCUUUUAUGCAAGCAAUUCUUUGUCAAGAAAUAUCUGGUUAACAAUUUCUUCGCAUGAAUAUUUUUACGGUCAUCAAGGUCCUUGAACAGUCAUGGUUAAUUGAUUACAGAUUCUCAAAUUUAUAAUUAUUUUUUUCAGGGUCAUUGUCCUUUGAUAUAUGCAAUUGAUGCAUGACUUUCUAACCAUUAUCUCCCUGCCUUCACCAUGGUCGUAUAAAUAUUUUGACAAGUGGGGAUUUUAUGAUUACUGUGUGCUAGGAAUUUUUUUGGUUGGAAAGAAAUGGGAGGAUUUUUCAAGAAGCUAGGGAGGGAAGACACCAAAUUUUUUUUGGUGGAUAAAGCCUGCUGUCACUUUGGGCAUCAAUUUCUAAUGAAUGCAAUAAUGUUCCUUUCUUUGCUAUUCAUUAAAAUUGAGUUGUUCUUCUUGGAUGGCCUUCUUUUUACUUCCCAUCAUUUUGCCAGCUUGUUGAUUGUCAUUUUUGCUUGUUGGCAGUCUUUUCCUGCAGUGUUGAUAAUAUUUAAUUAUAAUAUUAGACAACAGUGUCCUCAACAUGAUCUCUCUCCCAAAUUAUUACUCUUUUAUUCAUUAUACUUUUAGCAGUUUCUUUAUUUUUGUUAUAUUUUAUGUUUUCAGGCUCUAGAGGCUGUGCAGAUGGUGUUGAACAUGACUAAUAAUAAACGAAUUGAUACUGUAUUAUUAGAAAGAAUAGUGCUAGAUAUGGAAGGAAGGACUUCAAUUAUAGAAUCUGAGUCUUGCAGGACUACCCAUAAUCUUAACAGAACUAAUAACACUUGUGCAAAAGAUUAACCUGUAGAAUCUGUCCAUGUAUCAUCACCUGAGGAGUCAAUCAUGGGAAGAUCGCGAGAAAAUGAGCACUUGAUGGAGUUUCUUGGGAAAAUUCUUCAGCAGGUUGCACAUGGCUCCAUGAUCAUCUUUUUUCUGUCUUUUAAUACUGAGCCAAGGGACAGUCUCUCUCUUUCACGCAUAUCCACAACACAUGUACAUAUUUCUCAUAUUUCUAUGCGUAUAUAUUGUCAUUUCUGAUCUUUCUUAGUUUAUAUGAUAAUUGUCUUUGGGCAUAUGAUUCAUAUUUUCUGGGCACCCUAUGGUCUGUGGGUCAAUAAUAAUCCAUAGUAUCUGAAUUUCUAGACAAAAUUGGUCAUUUUAGCAAAUCAUUUGGAUGUAUCUAUGCAGCAGUUUACUAUUUUAGUGCUUGCAGGAAUUGGUAUGCUUAAAUUUUGGGCUUAAAUUGUGUGAAAAUAAUCAAAGUGAUAUGCAAAUUAAUUCAAGCCACAUGAGGAAAGAAUAUCCUUUUUUUUUUUUUUCAGCUUAUGUUACAUGUUUCUGUGUAUGGCAUAGGUAGUUCGAAGUGAGAGUAGUGCAGAUAUGUGGGGAUUAUAUGCAAGGUGGCUUAAAAAUAAAGGAGAUCUUACAAUGUGCUCUGAAGCCCUCUUAAAGCAAGUCAGAUCAUAUCAGGUUUCUCCAUAAACCUCAUCAUCUUAUAAUAAGUUAGCAUUAUGUUUUACUUUGAUGUUGAUGGAAUUUGUUAAUGCUAAUAAAAUUUUGUUAAUCUCUCUCUCUCUUUCUUUUUUAAAGAAGGCAAAGAAAAAGCUUUGUGAUUUCAUUUUUGUUUUCUAAAUUUGUUAUCUAAAGGAAUGACAAGUUUACAAUUCAGCCUCUGUGUGUGUGUGUGUGUGUGUGUGUGUGUGUGUGUGUGUCUGUGUCAGGGAUCUGAUUUGUGGAAAGAUAGAGAUCGGUUUAAAAGGUUUUCAUAUGCAUCCUUGGAACUUUGUAAGGUUUACAUGGAAAUUUCUUCCUCUUCUGGUAGCCGUCGAGAACUCUUUACUGCUGAGAUGCACCUGAAGAACGUACUUAAACAAGUAAAACACCUUAUAAUUCGAUAUUUAAGACACUUACAGUUGGUUUAAAGAUUGCAUUUUCCAUUUCUUUUUUUGACUGGUUCAGGGUAAAACUUUUUCUCACUGUGUUAGAGUGCAUUUCUGUUAUUAUAUAGUUUCUUAGAAGAAAAUGCACUUUUUGGAAUCUCAGGCUGAAGGAUUUUCUGACAUGGAAGAGUUCAGGGAUCUUCACGCUUGCCUUGAUGAACUGAAGACAAAACUCCAAUCUGGUCCCGUGGCUACCUAAGUAUCAGGAAUGUGCUAUUUUUGAAAUUUAGUAACAAGGUUAAAUCUGCAACAAAAAAUUAUUUUAGUUCGUACUGUAGUGGAGACCUUAAGCAUGACUGAGUAUCUUGUAUUGUUGUAUCACCUUUUCUGUAACAAAACAGUCUAGUUUUAUUAUUUUUGUAUUUUCGGUGCUGUAACUAAUCUCAUUUGCCAAUGUAAAUAUAUGGCUUCAAGUUCUUUAAAUGUAACAUCAAAUGUUGUUUUCAACCUCUGUUCUUUUAUGUAUUGCUUACAUGCCGUGAUUUC
This 71596-nucleotide long non-coding RNA is filed under the name Citrus x clementina. RNAcentral's name for it is "Citrus clementina (C. clementina) long non-coding RNA (CCLE_LNC003589)". Lineage: Eukaryota; Viridiplantae; Streptophyta; Magnoliopsida; Sapindales; Rutaceae. The record is from RNAcentral.